This 75462-nucleotide long non-coding RNA is filed under the name Triticum aestivum (bread wheat). RNAcentral's name for it is "long non-coding RNA (TAES_LNC013554)". Lineage: Eukaryota; Viridiplantae; Streptophyta; Magnoliopsida; Poales; Poaceae. The record is from RNAcentral.
CCGCCACCACGCGCUUCCCAACCAUCGCGCCGCGCGCCGCCAUCCACACCGCCGCGCGCCGCCCGCAAUCCCCGCCUCCAUGACUCCUCCUUUGUCAUCCCGUUCUGCGGCAGCAAAUUUCGGCGGCCAUCCCGUUGAACAGCUUGGAUCUAGGGCGUCGGCGAGCAACUGCAGGUGCAGGGGGGACGAGAGGGACGAAGACGUGGCAAAGGAGCUCCAGCUCGAUCUUCUCGGCUGCCGGCGGAGGAGCGGAGCCCCCCGCGCGCAGGUCUGGCCUGAUUCUUCUCGUCCGCCGUCGUGCGUUCAGAGGCCUCCCGCGCUCGAGCUCCUACAGGUGACAGGCAUCUCGUUCUUGCUGAUUGUUGUUGCCGCCACUGAGCUUCUCUGAUUCACCACUAUUCUUUGCAAUUCGCCCAUGCCUCUGUUUCUCUGGACCAUAAUAAAGAGAGAAAUUCAUCCUAGCUGAGAGACAGAGUUGAGGUUCAACGUGUAUAUUAAAUAAAAGAAGAUUGUAGUGAUUACGAGUAUGUGGCUGCCUAUAGUUCUUGUGUUUAAUGCAAACAAUCCCCUUUCCUUCCCUGUAGCAGUGGACACGAGCAGGCAAGGUGCUUCUCCUAUCGCGUCUGCUGGCAGAAGUGGAAAUCUAGCCGGCGUGCAGGUUCUUGUGCAGGUGGGUGUGCUAGUGUAGUUUUUCAGUUGACGAUCUAGCUAGCGCACUUUUUUCAGGUUGGCAUUGUUCAGUUUGAAAAGGUACAACAGUUCACUUAGUGAAUACGCCACCAAUUAACUUUGGAAAAGUACGCUGCUGAGCACUUCUCCAUCUAGAUUUGUUCUUGUUUAUGCCCCUCGAAGUAGAUGAUUCCUCGCACCUGAACUGUCGAAAGUCUAUACUGCAUUUUUUUGUAACUUCAGUGUAGUGAGCAGAUGGGGGCACCAGCAACGAACCAGCGGCGACCGGGCCUUCUCUCAUCCAUGAGCUGGCCCCACUCAACCUCUGUCUCCAGGACGAAGACGAUGUCCACGGCGCUGCCCAGCGGGAAGGGCAACAAAAAAGUUAAAAAAAAAUUGCUAGUGCAGCUGAUUGCCUCCUCUGUGUUGUGAUGUACUUCCUCUGUAAACAAAUGUAAGAGCGUUUAGAUCACUAAAAUAGUAAUAUAAACACUCUUAUAUUAGUUUACGGAGGGAGUACUAUGUUGUGUAGAUUUUUUUUGAAUUCAUGUUGUGAACCCAACUAAGGUUGAGCACAAAAGUUUAGAUGGCGGCUGGUUUGAAUUUUCUCCUAUAGCAGAAAUCUCGCUUCCCUCCUAUUGUACUAUAUCCACUUGUGUGUUGUUUGUCAAUGCUUUUUGUCUGAAGUUUAGUAGUACCUGUGGGUGCAAAAAAAUUGGUGUUGUGAUACAUAGGUUCAGUUUCUUAGGUCAUUCAAAAGAAAAUGAAAAAAAAAUGUAUUUUCGUCUCCAAAAAGCAUCAAUGAUGUGGAGUGCUUAUCUUCUUGUGUACUUCUAUCGAUGCUUGUGUUUCAUGGAGAGAGAGAGAGAGAGAAAGAAAGAGAGAGAUAAUCAUUCAUGUUUCCAUUCUUUCUAUGUACUUCAGAGACAUUUUAUGACAGAGAAAAAAGGUUAAUGACACAUUCUUUUGAGAGAUACAUAGUGGUUCGGGCUUCAAUGCUUUUUUACACGAAAGUUCAUGUUUCAGAAAUUUCUAAGUUCACGUGUACCACAUACUGAAGAAAUUCAUCAAUGAAAAAAGGGCCGCCUAGGACAUUUAACCGACAACAAAAAUGCCUGAAAAUGUUGUGAGACAAAAGACACUUCACAAGAUAUAACAUAGUAAGUUCGUAGAAAGUGGAAAACCCCUUAAUUUUGUUUUGUAAGUUUAACCAUUUCUAAAAACAAUACCUUGAAGUUCAAAUGUAAAUAAUAGGGCGGUUCAAUGUUUAUUACAAACCUAUGAUUUUCCCCGUUACUAUAGAAUAAACCAAGAAGUUCAAAAAAAAUGACGUAGUUCGAUUUUAAAAAAAAAGGUGUUUCUACAUUUUACUAAAAAAUGGAGAAGUUCAAAUUUAAAUAACAUAGAAGUUCAAAAUGAUUAUUUCAAAACCAAGAAGGUCAAACGAAAAAAACCGAGCAGUUUAAAAAGUUUGUAAACAUGGAUUUGCCCCCUGUUUUUUUAAGAUCCAGAAGUUCAAAUUUAAAGAAGUGAGCGGUUCGAUGUUUAUUACAUAAUUAGGACUUUUCCCUUUACUAAUAAAUAACACCAAGAAGUCCUAAUUGAAAAAUGAAGUUGUUUGAUGUUUAUAAAAAUCUUAGAUUUUUCCCGAUACUAAAGAUUAAAACCACGAAGUUCAAUUUUAAAAAACGGAGUAGUUCAAUGCAUAUUAAAUACUCAGUUUUUUCUCGUUACUAAAUAAUAAAUCCAAGAAGUUCAAUUUUUAAAAGCAGAGCAGUUUGAUAUUUAUUUGUAAACUUAGUUUUUUUCUGGUUACUAAAGAACAAGACCAAUAAGUUCUAUUCUAAAAUAACGAAGAAGUUCGAUGUUUGUAACAAAACUACAAUUUUCAAAUUUCUAGAAAAAAACACAAAAAAAGUUCAAAUAAAAAAUUUAGAGCGUUCGAUGUGUGUAAAAACUCAAAUUUUUUCCGUUACUAAAGUGAAGUAGAUAGAAGUUCAAAGCGAUAACAGCUAGAAGUUCACGUACUGCAUGGUGUGUGUUUCAUACGAAAAAAGAGAGUAAAAAGGCGAAGUCUAAAUUUUUUGUUGCUAGAAGUUCAAGUGCUCUUCCGUCGGAAGUUCAAACAUUCUUGAGAGAGAGAGGUUCACCGCGUAUUUCCAUGUUCGAAAACACAAAAAAGAAAUUGUUUUUUGUGUUUUAAAAUAAUUCUCUCAAUACACAAAGAAGUUCAGUUAUUAUUUGAUAGCAAUUUGAUUUCAAAAAAGAAAAUAAAAAAUUCAAAUUAUAAAAAUGGAAAAAGUUCAUGUACUACAUGGUGUGUGUUUAAUAUGGGAAAAAUGAAUAAAAAGGCAAAGUUUUCCUCGUUAUUAAAGAAUGGAAACAAGAAGUUCAGAAAUUAAAUAACAAAGAAGUUCAACUUUUAAUAAUAGAGCGCUUCAAAAUUUCAUAAAAAGAUUGAGAAAUAAAACCAGGAAGUCCAUAUUAAAAAGAUGGAGAAAUUCGAUGAUUAUAGAAAACUUAGAUUUUCCUUGUUAUUAAAGAAUGGAAACAAGAAGUUCAAAAAUUAAAUAACAAGACGUUCAACUUUUAAUAAUUGAGCGCUUCAAAAUUUCGUAAAAAAGAUUAAGAAAUAAAACCAGGAAGUCCAUAUUAAAAAGAUGGAGAGGUUCGAUGAUUAUAGAAAACUCAGAUUUUCCUCGUUAUUAAAGAAUGGAAAAAAGAAGUUCAAAAAUUAAAUAACAAGAAGUUCAACUUUCAAUAAUAGAGCGUUUCAAAAUUUCAUAAAAAGGGAUUAAGAAAUUCAGAUUAAUAUUCAUAAAAAACUCAGAUAUUUUCAUGUAACCGAGAGAAGUUCAGAUUGAUAACUGCCAGAAGUUCACGUACUACACGGUGUGCAUUUUGUAUUAAAAAAAGAAUAAAAAGCAAAGACUAAAUUUUUUAUUGUUAUAAGUUCAAGUACUCCGUCGGAGAAAGUUCAAAAAAUUAUUGUGAGAGUGGUUUGUACAAAAGGAAUAUCAUUUGUGUAACACUAACAAAUAGAUGAGAAAAUUAUAAAUAAAAAUACGUCACAGAAGUUCAACGUGAAAACAGCAGGAAGUUCAACUACUACAGUGAAUAAAUUUUAGAUGAAAAACUUCUAAAAUCGCCACGAGUAUGAAAAAAUGAUCAACACGGGAAAGUUGCGUGUUUACAGCAGCUUUCCACUUGUAUAUCACUUGCUCAAUUCCGGUGAGUGUUCCGGUGAGUGGAUGGAGAGCUACGAGAAAAAAAGCACGUGAGAAACAGAGUGAAGUUCAAGUAAACAUGCCGAGAAGUUCAAGUUCUUCAUGCGGUGCAUUUUUAAAGAAUCUAUUUCGUGAAAAAGGCAGAAGGAAUGAUCCUGCCGUUUUUGAAAUAACUUGAAAACGGCUAGGAAUCAGAGAAAACCAUCAAAAUGAAAAAGUUUCACAUUUUCCGUAGCUUUUCAACGGUAUAUUAUUUGCCCCAUUCCGAUAAAAGUUGUAAAAAUUACAGCAAAUAUACAUUUUUAGCCAUUUUAAAAAUUGACUUAAAACAGUAAUGAAUUGGGAGAAAUAAUAUAUACCAAAACGUUUCGCAUUUCCUCAAGCUUUCCAACGCCAUAUUAUUUGCUACAUUCGGACGUAAGGUUAAAAAAUUAGCUCGAAAAUACGAACUCGGUGGAACUUGUACCGUUUUCUAAAUUACUUUUAAACCGUUCAAAAUUAGAAAAAACUUUCAAUGAGAGAAAGUAGCGCAUUUUUAUAGGCUUUCCAACGCCAUAUCAUUUUCCUCAAUUGGAUUAGCCGUUUAGAAAUGACAUCGAAAAUACGAACUCGGCUGUUCAGUUUACGAAAUUUUUAUGAUUUUCCAAAUUACUCUUUAACCAUAAGGAAUUAGAGAUAACUUUCAACAUGUGGAAGGAGUGGUUUUAUAGCAGCUUUCCAACGCCAUAUUAUUUGCCUCAUUCCGAUAAACAGUUUAGAAAUGCGAUCGAAACUACGAUUCACGUUUUUUGUAUGAAGAAAAAACGGUUUUCAAAACUGCUCUUAAACCUCUUACAUUUUGCCAAAAAUUUAACUUGUGUAAUGAUAUUGGUGUCCAUAGCUUUCCAACGGUAUAUCGCAAGCCCCAUUUGAGCAAUGUUGGCGGAAGUUCAACCUAGCACUGGGAGAAGUUCAGGUCGAACAACUUAGGCAGUAAAAUUGCAAAAAAAAGCAAUUUCAUCACAACCCGAGAGCAAAAUCCGCCAAUGAGCGAUAUUCCUAUUUAAAACGGGUAUUUAGUUGCUAAAAACGUUUCUAGAUUACCCUAACAUCAUAUAUAACACAACUAAACAGAAUAAUUCGCGCGGGAAGACACGGUUGCGAAGAUAGCCCGAAGGUCGGGUUCGUACAGAGGGAAGUUCAGGCGCGUUACUCAGGCAGUUCAGGUUGUGAUCAGAAUAUUAUUCUGGUCCCGUGAUCAUAAUAGUGUUUAUGCAUAUUGUUGGGGAUAUUACCACUUGGCGUAAACCGGCCAGGAGAGGCCGGGUUAACCCCUUAAGUAGUUCAUCUGUAUCUGAAGUCCAUGAAGACAGACGGUGACGCUUUAUGAAGGCCCAGGGCCCAAAGCCGGUUUAAGGCCUGUAGACAUAAACCGGCAUUAAUAUGUAAACUUGUGUUGUAAGAUAGAAGUAGCAAAGACCGAGCCGGACCACGAUUAUGAGCCGGCCUCGGGAUUCUGUAAACCGACGGGCGUCAACCCAUGUAUAUAAGGGGACGACCCGGCAGAUGUUCAAGGACGAUAGACAACAACUCGAGACUCGGGCAAAGCGUAUUCGCUCCCUGGUCAUCGAAACCCCAGCAAUUCCAUCACAACUAGACGUAGGCUUUUACCUUCAUCGUAAGGGGCCGAACUAGUAUAAAAUUCUCUUGCGUCCCUUGUCCGCUUUAACCCCUUUAAGUUAACCCGUAGCGAUGGCUCCACGACUAAGUCCUUUCUCUAGGAUAUCUGCCGUGACAAAACCACGACAGUUGGCGCCCACUGUGGGGCUAUCGCACGAUGGUUUCAAGUUCUUGGAGGCCAACUUCGAAGGACUCAAGGGUUAUGCUGUGGGCCGGAUGACCAAGAGUCGUCGCGACAAGCUUUACAUCGACGAUGCAGGCUGGGGCCCCGAGGCCGGCUCAAUCGAGUACGGGUACCGGGUCCCCUUUGGUGGCAUACACGUUUUCAUUGGCAAGAUCGGCGAACCGGGCCCUGAGCCGGACAUCUGCACUGACCUCGUCGAAACGGCUCAGCGUGCGAGAUCUGCCCGGGUCAAGCCUGUCAUGAAGCGUGCCUUCGUAGGAGUUAUCCAUGGAGGGCAAUCUGAGGAUAGAUCGGAAUCUGGUGGUGAGACCGUCGUUUAUUCCGGCGACGAGUCAUCGACCGGAGAGACCGAGUCGUUAUAUCAGUUACAAGAUGGCCGGAUUGGGGGCUGUUCCGAUGGCGACAGUAUUCCAGACCCCUUUGAUCUGCCAAACCGGGUCGCGAUCUUCAUGGCCGGUACGCAACCGGCGCUCCACUCUUCGACCGCAACGGUGAUGAUUUCCGGAUCGGCAGUGGCAACACUGGCCGGGGCAGGAGGCCCUGUGCGCCCGCCAGCUCAGGUUCUAUCUGAUUUGUUUGACGCGUUGGCAACGCUGAUGGCGGAGGUUAACCCGGCGGAUCAGGAUGCACACAAUGCGGAAAUCGCGAAAGUGAAAGAUCAGAUCACCCAGGCCAAAGCCGACUUAGCAGCUGAGGAUACAAGGAUGGCCGCGGAGCGGGCCGCUUUGGAUGCACAAGCUUACCGGAUUAUGCUGGAUCAGAGUGCGUCGAACGAAGUCCUAAAGAGGAGGUACCGAUCUCGCCUGCCGCCGGUUUAUGACGCUAGAAAUCUCUUUAACACCCCAGGAGCAGGGACCAGUAAUCCGCCGGUGGUAAACCGGGCGGAGGCACCUGGAGCAGGGGCGCCGGUUCAGCCACGUUUGGUGGAUCCGCCUCGUCAGAACAACAUUGUAACACCGCAUGUCCCCACGCCACUGGGUCAUUACUCUAACCCGAUGGACAACAUUGUCGCUGCCGCUUCACGGCUGGCGGCCAUCCCGAUCGAAGGCGAUUCUCCGGCGGCGGUCGAGACGCGUCGGGUUAAGGAGCUUCUUCAGACAGCCUUGGUUCAACAGGAGGCUUAUUAAUAUAGUCGCGAUCGGAUUCAUUCCACUCCCCGUCCAAGCCGGAGUUACAGCAGGCGUAUGGAUGAAUCGGCGGUGUCAAGAAAUGCGCGGGAACCGUGAUCCGCCCCGUGGCAAUAACCGGCGGGUGGUGCUGGUGAUGCUUAGGAGGUGGUGGACCGGGCUCGGGCACGCAGAGAGGCCGAGUUAGCGGCGCAGCAUGAAGCCCGUCAGCUUACUCCAGUUCGUCCAAACACAUCGGUGGAACCAGGAGUUACCUCUAGUUCUUUGGGAGUGUCGUGUCUCGUCCCGGCGUUGCGCAAUGUGCGCCUGCCCAAGGAUUUCAAGGGCCCGCGCAAGGUGCCGAAUUACGCCGCCGAUUUAUCCCCUGAAACAUGGGUCGAAAGCUAUGAGAUGGCCAUGGAGAUGCUGGAUGUGGAUGAUGCGGCAUGUGCGAAAUACUUCACCAUGAUGCUAGAAGGGAUGGCCCGCACUUGGCUAAAGAGCUUACCGGCUAAUUCUAUCAGGUCAUGGGCCGAGUUGAGAGCCCGGUUUAUUCAGAAUUUCAAGGAUACAUGCAAGCAGCCCAUGUCAAUUGUGGACUUAGCUGCCUGUGUCCAGGAGGAAGGAGAGUCAACAACCCAUUGGGUGCGCCGGGUUUCGGAGAUUUUGCAUUCAUCGGACCGCAUCAACGCUGACACCGCAGUUUUAACAUUGGAAGGCAAUUGCCGUUUUGAACCCCUGAAGUUGAAGUUGGGACGACUCAAACAUCAUUGUAAUGACAUGGGAACCCUCAUGGCUGCACUGGUGAAGUAUGCCGACUCUGAUAGUACCAAGGAUCCCGAGUCUGACGAUGAUAAGGCAGGGAAGGGAAAAAAGAGCGACAACGCCAAGGGGCAGCACCACAACCCGGCGGGUCAUGGAAACGGCGACAAGCGUAAGGCGGACCACGGUUUAGACUUUGUGGCUAAUACUAAUACACAUGACAAGGGCCAGCGGCGUAAGGGUAAACCGCCCCAGCGCGGUGGAGGGCCAAGUCCUAAUUCGGACCGUUUGUCUUAUCUGUUGAACCAGCCCUGUCCAAAGCAUGGGACGAAGGAGAUCCCGUCCACGCACCUCUGGAAAGAUUGUUACAUCAUGCAAGAGUUUAAAAAUUCUGAUUCUUUCCGGUAUGAUCAUGGACCAGGAGGCGGUUCGGGCCCCGGGUCUCAUGGGCCGGGUUAUGGUGGAGGAAAUUUCGGUUCAGGCUUCCACGGUAAUCAGGGUGGACAUAACAAUCAAAGUAAUCAGGGUAACCAAGGUGGCUAUAAUCAUCAGGGCAAUCAGCAGCAGCAGCAGCAGUCGGGUUACCAGAGCAACCCGAAGCAGUUGAAUAGCGGACAGUAUCAUGUCUUCACCACUAGCUUGGACAAGCGCGAUCAGAAGCUUCAUAAAAGGGCGGUGAAUGCCGUUGAACCGGCGUUGCCCCGUUAUUUGCGCUGGUCUGAGCAGCUGAUUGUGUGGAGUAGAGAAGAUCAUCCACCCCGGGUUGACAAUCCGGGUCAUCUGGCUCUGGUGGUGGCGCCUCAAGUGGGAGGUUAUAAGUUCACUAAGGUACUCAUGGAUGGAGGGAGUAGUAUCAAUAUCCUUUAUUAUGAAACUUUCCGUCGCAUGGGGUUAACAAAUAAAUCUUAAACCGUCCAAUACGGUGUUCCAUGGUGUGGUGCCUGGUAAGUCGGCAUAUCCUGUUGGUAAGAUAGCUCUGGAGGUGGCUUUUGGAGAUGAGCAUGACUCGAGAUUAGAAACCUUGACCUUUGAAGUGGUGAAAAUCAGAAGCCCAUAUCAUGCUCUAUUUGGACGGCCAGCUUAUGCUAAGUUUAUGGCACGGCCUUGUUAUGUCUAUCUGCAGCUCAAGAUGCCGGAUCACAAGGGAACUAUAAUCGUGCAUGGGAGCCGCAAGAUUGCUCUGGAGUGUGAAGAAGGUGAUGUGGCUUAUGCUGAGUCGGUUUGUGCAACAGAAGAGUUGAAGUUUUACAAAGACAAUGUUGAUCCGGCAGAUAUGACUUCAUUAAAGAAACCAACUACAGAGCAUGAUCUGGCCCUGAAAUUCAAAUCGGCUGAUGAGACUAAGCUUGUUGACUUCGUGCCCGGCGAUUCGUCCAAGCAAUUUAGCAUUAGCGCUAACUUGGAUCCGAAAUAGGAAAGUGCGCUUAUCAAGUUCAUCCGUGAGAAUCGGGACAUAUUUGCGUGGAAGCCUUCUGACAUGCCAGGUGUACCGAGAGAACUCGCUGAGCACACUCUCAAUAUUGAUCCAAAGUAUAAACCGGUCAAGCAGUUUCUCCGCCGGUUCAAUGAAGAAAGACACAAGGCUAUUGGAGAAGAAGUAGCUAGACUCUUGGCGGCUGGAUUUAUCGUUGAAGUAUUCCAUCCUGAGUGGUUGGCUAAUCCGGUGCUGGUCCUCAAGAAGAAUGGCACUUGGCGUAUGUGUGUGGACUACAAAGAUCUCAACAAAGCUUGUCCAGCAGAUCCUUUUGCCCUUCCCCGUAUUGAUCAAAUUAUUGAUGCUACGGCGGGUUGCGAGCGUUUAAGCUUUUUGGAUGCAUAUUCUGGUUAUCAUCAGAUCAAAAUGGCAGUUAAGGACCAGGAGAAGACAGCCUUCAUAACUCCCUUUGGAGCCUUCUGCUAUGUGUCCAUGCCCUUUGGGCUCAAGAGUGCCCAGGCGACUUAUCAACGGUGUGUGCAGAAUUGUCUUCAUAAGCAGAUCGGCCGCAAUGUUCACGCCUAUGUGGAUGAUAUUGUGGUAAAAUCGAGGAAGAAGGAGACAUUGAUUGAUGACUUGAAGGAAACCUUUGAUAACCUACGGGUUUAUAAAAUGAUGCUUAAUCCGGCUAAGUGUGUCUUUGGUGUACCUGCAGGCAAGCUCUUGGGCUUUUUGGUGUCUAAUAGGGGUAUUGAAGCUAAUCCGAAAAAUAUCAAGGCCAUCACCUCCUUGGCCAAACCGAAGUGUAUCAAUGAUGUUCAACGCCUGGCAGGAUAGAUUGCCGCGUUGAGCCGGUUUAUCAGUCGCCUUGGAGAGAAGGCCAUCCCUUUGUAUCAGAUGCUGAAGAAAACGGAUAACUUCGUCUGGAGUGACGCCGCUAAUGAAGCAUUUGAGGACUUAAAGCGGCAGCUGGCUAAUCUGCCGGUUCUUGCUGCUCCGGUUGACAAAGAACCAUUGUUGCUAUAUGUGGCAGCUAAUGCUCGGGCUGUUAGUGUGGCUAUUGUGGUGGAGCGCAAGGAGGCCGGAAAGGAAUAUCUGGUUCAAUGGCCGGUCUACUAUAUCAGUGAGGUACUUAUUGAGUCCAAGCAGAGGUACCCGCAUUGGCAAAAAUUGGUGUAUGGGGUUUUUAUGGCAAGCCGAAAGCUUAAGCAGUAUUUCCAAGGUCAUCCCAUCACGGUGGUCAGCUCUGCUCCGUUGGGAGAUAUAAUCCAGAACAGGGAAGCAACUGGCCGGAUUGCUAAGUGGGCUAUAGAGCUCGGGCCUCACGGGUUGAAAUACAUACCCCGAACGGCGAUCAAAUCUCAGGCACUUGUGGAUUUCAUCAAUGAUUGGACAUAAUUACAAGCGCCAGAGGAGAAGCCAGAUCAUACUUAUUGGACUAUUCAUUUUGAUGGGUCCAGGCAAUUGGAGGGCUCGGGGGCUGGAGUCGUAUUAACUUCCCCACGAGGUGAUAAGUUUUGUUAUGUUCUCCGUUUAAUGUUCCCUUGCACAAUGCAGCUGAAUAUUAGGCUUUACUCCAUGGUCUUCAGAUGGCUAAGGAGAUGAACCUAAGCCGAGUUAAGUGCUUCGGUGACUCGGAUCUGGUGGCUCAACAAGUGUCCGACACUUGGGAUUCCAAGGACCCACUAAUGGCAGCAUAUCAUCGUGAGGUGGAUAUUGUUGCAGGUCACUUUAAAGGUUAUCAGGUGGAUCAUGUGGACCGGUGGAAGAAUGAAGCGGCGGACGCUUUAAGCCGCCUGGGUUCCCAACGUAAACCGGUUCCACCUAAUAUCUUCCUGGAUGUUUUGCAUCAUCCGUCCGUCAAGCCCCUGGUGAAGAGGAUUUGGCUGUUCCUGAUCCGGAGGCUCAGUUGGUGGCGGCUCUUCACGUUAUCCCGGAUUGGACGGUUCCAUAUCUGGCGUAUAUGAACCGGGGCGAGUUACCAGAGGAUGAGACUCUGGCCAGGCAGAUAAUCCGGCGGUCCAAGUGCAUGACUAUUAUUAAUGGGGAGUUACAUCAUUGCAGUGUGACAGGGGCGUUUCAACGCUGUGUGUCUCCUGAAGAAGGCCGUGAUAUUUUACGUGAGAUCCACGAAGGAGAUUGUGGUCACCAGGCCGGUUCAAAGUCUUUGGUGGCCAAGGCGUUUCGUCACGGUUUCUAUUGGUUGACAGCUCAUGCUGAUGCCGAGGACUUGGUCAAAAGAUGUGAUGGCUGCCAGAAAUUCUCAAGGCGCGCUCAUGUACCGGCUCAAGAAUUGAGGAUGAUUCCAAUCACCUGGCCAUUUGCAACUUGGGGGCUGGAUAUGGUUGGGCCUUUCAAGAGGUCCAAGAACAAGAAGACCCACCUUUUGGUGGCAGUUGAUAAGUUCACGAAGUGGGUGGAGGCAGGGCCAGUUAGUAAGUGUGACGCAGCCACGACGGUUCAAUUCAUCAAAAAGGUGAUCUUCCGGUUCGGCUUUCCACACAGCAUUAUAACAGAGAAUGGUACCAAUCUGUCAAAAGGUGCCAUGAAGGAGUUCUGUCAACGUGAGCACAUCCGGCUUGAUGUGUCAUCAGUGGCUCACCCACAGUCUAAUGGUCAAGCGGAGAGGGCCAAUCAAGAGAUCUUGAGAGGCAUCAAACCCCGGCUUAUGGUUCCUUUGCAACGGACGCCGGGUUGUUGGGUUGAGGAGUUACCUUCUGUGUUGUGGAGCAUCAAUACCACACCCAACAGAUCGACAGGAUACACACCAUUCUUCAUGGUUUAUGGAGCGGAAGCAGUUCUUCCUAGUGACAUCCGUCAUGACUCGCCUCGUGUAGCGGCAUAUGUUGAAGUUGACAACGAGAAGGCACGACAGGAAGCUCUUGACCUCUUAGACGAGGAACGUGACAUGGCGGCAGCCCGUUCGGCGAUUUAUCAGCAAGAUCUGCAUCGUUAUCAUAGCCGCCGGGUUAGAACCAGAACCUUUCAAGAAGGUGCUUUGGUGCUUCGGCUCAUCCAGGAUCAGACGGAUAUGCAUAAACUAUCCCCCCCUUGGGAAGGACCCUUUGUGGUUAGCAAGAAUCUGCACAAUGGGUCAUACUACCUAAUCGAUGUUCGAGAGCGCAAAGACUCACGUAAAUCGGAGGAGGAGACCAACCGGCCGUGGAAUAUUGCUCAUCUUCGGCCCUACUAUACUUGAGCCAUAGGAUCUGCUUAUGUACAUAUUAUGACAUUGUAUAUAUUAUGAUCAAUAUAAUAAACCGGAACCUCAGCUAAAGCGGGGUAUCCGUUGUUACAUCAUGUGUGGUUACAUGGAGCUUACAAAGCGGUGUCCGGUUUACCCCUUGAUUUAGCUUCUCAAAGCUUUAUAUUACAUCACUUGGGGGCUUGGUCGUAUCCGAACCAUAGCUACACCUCUUGAUCGGUGCAAUGCCACAACAUCACUUGGGGGCUUGGUCGUAUCCGAACCAUAGCUACACCUCUUGAUCGGCACAAUGCCACAGCAUCACUUGGGGGCUUGGUCGUAUCCGAACCACAGUCACACCUCUUGAUCGGCUCAAAGCCACAUCAAUCCGGGGCCAAAGAGAGUGUUGUAAAACAACAACUCAAACAUAGGCACCCACUGAGCACAGCUCACAAUGUUGCUUGGGGAUUCUUUGCCGUCGAAAUGAACUAAGAAUCUACACUUGUAACAGGCUAUCAAGCCAUGACUUGGAAGUCUGGUGUAUACACCUAAAACCCCGGGUUAACCUGCCUAUUUAAGUAAGUCACUCCGCCCAGGUAAACCUGGUAUGACCCUUCGAACUUUGACAAGUUACUCUAAAAUGAAGACCCUGAACUUGUCAAGUUAAAACGAUGAUUGGUUAAGGAUUGAGGACCAUCUUAAAAGGCUUUGCAAAAAUGGUUUAACUCAGUGGCCUGGCAGCCCAUGAAAAGCCUCGAAUUUGGGGCCUGGCAGCCCGUGAAAGCCUCGACUACAACGGUUUUUAUUUGCCUUUUGCUAAGUUUUCUUUGUUUCAUAAGAUUUGUGAUGUUUUUAAAACCGGUGUUUAUCAACCCGGUCAGGCUGUCAACUACAAGUUGUCAGUACACGAUCAAAUUAUAAUCCGGAGACUAUCAGCCCGGUCUGGUUUUGACUCAAAGUCACCAGUAUGGAAUAAACCGGUGUUUAUCACAGCCCGGAACGGUUUUCUGAUAAAACGACAUCAUAUAACAGGAGUUACUUCUACUCCGGAUUAGGGUUAUUACCCUCAUUACAAAGUUGGUCAGCCAACCCUAUGCCUAAAGGUCAUAGGUAUCAUAUAUUUCCAUAUUUGGUUAUCUUUUACAACCUUGGUUAUAAACCUUGGUCAUAUAUAUAUUUGGGUAUCAUGACCUGCCCGGUGGUAAACCGCCAGGGCGCUUUAAGCUUCUUAUCUGCAGGAACAACUUGAAUAAAUAGCUAUGGAUUAUGAACAUCAUAUCUUAAGCAUGGCGGAUUAGCAUGCAUCAGUUGCAGAUAAAUAUGCACGAAGGCAUAACAGACCAAGUGCUUUAACUAGCCUAUUACAAGGCAUUUCAGUGCCCAAAGGGAUAACUGUUUCUCAAUAAGCAUUGCAGCACGUGGAAGACUAAACCGGCCCCCGGAUUAUGAUUGCUUAUCAGCUUGACCUGAUGGCUACGGAUCAUCUUGCACCGGUUCAUCUUCUUCGUCUCUACCCAGCGGCUGGAAGUCAACAGUUGUCCAGUCGAUCCCAGUUAAAGCUUGGAACACAGCUUCGUCGCUUAUAAGGGUUGACAGUUCAAUAUCAGGGGCAUAAGUGUGCUUACGGAUUGGAGGGAUCAGAUUUUGCGCUUCACGAGUCGGUGCAGCAACCCGUUUGUUAUUAGUGUCAUAGCUCGCCUGGUAAAAAGAAAGAUCAGCUUCUUCAGCCAGUUGACAAGCCAGUGGAUGUACUUCCCGGUUUAUGGCGCGGAGAUCCUCCUGAUCAAAUUCUGAUCCGUCUUCUUUUAAGCUGGGAUAGCCUUUAGCCACUUCCAUCGGAUCAAGGUCAGGUACCCAUGCUUUUGCCUGGGUUAGUGCGGUCAAAGCACCCGCCCUUGCAGCAGAUCUCUUUAGCUCUUCUACCCGGGCAGGCAGCAUCGACAACCUUGAUAAGGUUUCCUUAAUUAAAGUGGGGGGAGGCUUGUUGUGUGAAGCGGCACAGAUGAUCCGUUGUGCACCGGUAUAUAACUGCUCUAUCAGCGUGUAGGUGGCCUUCAGUUUCUUCUGUACAUCAGAGCCCAGGUGACUAAUGCGAGUUCCUGCAUCAUUACAAAUGUCAGUAAACCGACAACACAUGGGAAAGAUAUGUUGAAAGUAUUAAGGAAAAGAUGUUUACCGAACACAGCAGCAGUCAUGGCAUGAAUCUGCCGCUUUACGCCGGUCAGUUCAUCAACCACCGGUUUAAGAGCGGCUUCUGCGUUUUCAGCCCUUUUUAUCAAAGCGGAUUUUUCAGUCUCCCAAUCCGCCCGCUCUUUGUUGAAGCCCUCUUUUAGUUUCUCCAUAGCGCCUAGAGCGCUGGUCAAUUCUUCCUUUGCUUUGGAGGCUUCAGCUUGCUGGGAUUUGAGGUUCUCUUGCAGAUCAGCGGUUUGGCUUUCCUUCUUGCUUAGUUCAGCCUAUAAAGAGACAGAUAUAUAAUGAGUUGACAGUACAUAUUUGAAGUACCAAGCACAUAACAAGUUAUGCCCUUAGUACUUGGGGGCUAAUGCAUAUUUGCUCUUUAUCAGAAAUUUUUACAAGUCCCAAGCACAAUACAAGUAUUAAGCUUGGCACUUGGAGGCUAAUGUGUAUUUGCUCAUAAAAUGCUGAUAUGGGUAUUCUUCUACAAAGUCCCGGUUCAUCUUUAUAAAGUUAAACCGGCCCUUGGGGGCCACAUCAGUGAAGUUAAGAUGCAUUGUUGCAAACAUGAAAUUGCUACUAAGUCCCGGUUUAAAUUGGUAUCUUAAACGGUCACUUGGGGGCUACUGGAGUUGAUAAGCUGCAAUUAAAUAUAAGAGAAAAACACUUAUGAAGUUACCUCAUAUCGCUCCUUCAUCAUAUUUACCAAACCGACUUCAUAGUCACGGCUGGUGUACAGACGGUUCAGGAAGCCAGAGUGAAGGUCUUGAGCAUUCAGAUGGGCAUAAUUUGACAAAUCGGCGUUCCAUCUGCCUUUGCCAAUUGCAGAGAGCUCAUCUUUGGCAGUAUGCUUUGACAAAGCGACAGGAUUGCCCGGAGCGGUAUGGCCAGUGCCAGUAAUCAUAAUGUCAUCAUCUUUUUCAUCUGCAGCCGUUACUGGGGUUGGCGGUUUGUCAGUAUUUUUAACUGGACUUGCCGGUUUAUUGUCAGUUCGGACAGGGCUGGUUGGCUGGUCAGCAUGGCUUGUGGUGUCAACUUCUGCCUGCUCAGUAACGAAGUCAUGAUCUUGAGCGGUGGGUCAUUCAGUAUGGCAUCAAUGUUGGUCUCUUCAGGAUCUGGAGUUUUCUCCGGUUCAACAGCCACGUCUUCAUCAGCCGGUUUAUUCAACCGAGCUUUCUUGCUGGGUCUGGGCUUGGCGCUGAGAAAAGAUAGACAUGAGGAUCAGUACAGUAUGUAAAGAUAACACAUCAAGAAUAAAGACACGUGCAUAGCUCACCCAUGAACUGUUUUGAGGGGUGGAAGCUGUGUGGCCGAUGACUCGCCAGAAGAUGAGUGAGAAGUACCCUGAUAAUUUGAAUCAGACGGGUUAAGAGGCUGGCGGAAACAACCCGCUUUGGGGCAUGAAGUGUCAAGGGUAUAAGAGACCUCUGAUCGGCGUUUUUCGAACUGGAGUAUUCGGUAAACUGGCGGAGGUAACUACCUGGCCGCUGUGCCGGGUUGUGCGGCGAGCCUCGUGCUGCUGUGUCUUCAAAAGAAAGUUUGGGUCCAAGUAAGCAAGGGGGUGAGAAAAUUUUACUUUCCGGUUUGCUUGACGGAUUUUUGAUGUUGGCAGAGGAUCUGAAUCGGAGGAAAGAAUGGUUACCUCUACGUCAUCAGCAUGACUGCCUUCAGCGUCGUCCUGAUAAUAAUCAUUGUCAAUGAGGUGUACGAAAAAUGAACCAAGAGAGUCAAGUUCUACCUCUGAUUCCAGAUUACCCACAUCGUCGUCAGCUGGUAGAUCGGAGGAUGCAGUGGUACUUUUCUUGGCAGGUUUUUUAACAACCUUGGUCUUUGGACGAACUGGUUUCGCCGGUUUGUCUUGUGGUGGUUUCUUAUUCCAGAACGGAUCAUCACCCUGUCAGAAAAUAAUCACACUUGCAGAGAAUAUUUGGACAGAAGCAACUUCAGAUAAAAAGAUUAUAUGAUUCUUACAGCUAGUGGUUUGUUGAAGGUGCAGAAAGGGAGUAGUCCGGUUUGGGCACAGACAGCCUCCGGUUCGUUCAGCAUCUUUUUUACAACCUCAGUGACUUCUGCAUCUGUAAGCUGAAUGUCAAUGUGCCGCUGAGCAUCCUUGAAACUCCCCGUAUACUCACACAUCAAACCGGAGCACCGGCUUAAGGGCAUAAUACUCCAGCUUAUCCAACAACGAGCAAGAUCAACUCCUGUCAAACCGUUUGCCAUGAAGGCUCUAAGCUAUGAUAAUUGAGGAGGAUAGUUGGCCCUUUCUUUUGCAGUCAACCUCUGAGGAAAAGGAUGUGUGUUGCUCAGGCGUUCAGGGUGGUAACCCGGCAAGGGGUUUUCAUCAGGUGGAGAUGUAUCCUUGCAAUAAAACCAGGUCUGGUUCCACUCUUUGGGGUGACUGUGGAGCUUGUGGUGAGGGAAAGUAGUUUCCUUCCUUUUCUGAACCGCCAUUCCGCCCAGUUCCGUAUUGGGUCCAUCCGAGAACUCUGUGUGACGGUUUAAGUGAAAGAAAUCCCUAAACAGUUCGACUGUAGGUUCCUCUUGCAGAUAAACCUCACAGAAGACUUGGAAGUGGCAGAUGUUGGUCACAGAAUUGGGACCGAUGUCUUGAGGGCGCAACUGAAAAUUGGCUAGUACAUCUCGGAAAAUUUUCGAACCGGGAGGGCUAAAACCUUGACUCAAAUGGUCAGCAAACACGACUACCUCUCCGUCCUUGGGUGUAGGAGGAUUUUCCGGGCCAGGGACCCUCCAGUGGAUGACAUCUUUCUUGGCUAAAGCGUUCGUUUUAACAAGAUUGUUUAACUGUUCUUCGGUUACUCGAGAAGGAGCCCAAUUGCAUUCAUAGACUUUCUUGGCCAUGGCAAUGAAAGAUCUGAAACAUGAUUAUGGCCGGUUUAAGAUUUACAAUGGACAACUAUACAGUGGUAUAAGGAUGUAAGCAUAUUGUUAAACCGGAAUUGGUUAUUCGUAAACCGGAGUCUGACAAUGGAAACAAUACAAUGAUGAAUGCAUUGGCAGUUCAACAGGGGACUAAUGGUAUCUACUUGGUCAUCAUUUUGUAUAUGAAGUUAAACCGCCCAAUCUGGUAUUAAAAGUGUAUAAGUGAAGGAAGAAACAAGUUCCACAUCUUGCCAUGGUAAUUUCAGAUCUACCGCGUGUUGGAAAAACAAAAUAUAUUCUGACCUAAUUUCUAGCGUGUUAAAGGUUCACCAAGUUGAGAUGAGUUUUAUACAAGGCAGAUGUUCUAACAAGGAAGCAGGAGUUUAAAGUACAAAGGCUUUGGAAAAAGUAGAUCUAAACUAGCCAUUGGUACUGCUAAAGAGAAACAAACAGAUUCAAGAACUUCGAAGAACUACGAAGAACGACGAACCCUAACGGUUGAUCUGGAGUAAGAAAGGAGGAACGUACUGGUGCUGAGGAAGCAGCGGAGGAUUGCCGCGUUUUUCUGGUCCGAUCAGGUUCAUGCAGCGGCCGUCGCGNNNNNNNNNNNNNNNNNNNNNNNNNNNNNNNNNNNNNNNNNNNNNNNNNNNNNNNNNNNNNNNNNNNNNNNNNNNNNNNNNNNNNNNNNNNNNNNNNNNNNNNNNNNNNNNNNNNNNNNNNNNNNNNNNNNNNNNNNNNNNNNNNNNNNNNNNNNNNNNNNNNNNNNNNNNNNNNNNNNNNNNNNNNNNNNNNNNNNNNNNNNNNNNNNNNNNNNNNNNNNNNNNNNAGACCCCCUAGCCCUAUUUAUAAGGGUAAUAAGCGUCAGGCGUGAAAAUCGAGGAGCCUAAAUUUUGGAUAUGAGGCGGAGCUGUCGCCUCAAUUGUCGGAGGAUCAUUAAUGAAGGUGGAUUAUACACAGUUUUAAAUAACAGGUGACGUCACGGCGGUUUACCAUGGGCCUAGAAGAUGAUGUCAUGGCGGUUUACAAGAUUAUGUGAAGAUGUUGAAGAAGAAAUUUUCUUAAGUAUUGAGGAUUGACAUGAACCAGUUCAAAUCAAUCUGUGGCCUAAUGUUGGGGAUAUUACCACUGGGCGUAAACCGGCUAGGAGAGGCCGGGUUAACCCUAUAAGUAGUUCAUCUGUAUCUGAAGUCAUGAAGACAGACGGUGACGCUUUAUGAAGGCCCAGGGCCCAAAGCCGGUUUAAGGCCUGUAGACAUAAACCAGCAUUAAUAUGUAAACUUGUGUUGUAAGAUAGAAGUAGCAAAGACCGAGCCGGACACGAUUAUGAGCCGGCCUCGGGAUUCUGUAAACCGACGGGCGUCAACCCAUGUAUAUAAGGGGACGACCCGGCGGUGGUUCAAGGACGACAGACAACAACUUGAGACUCAGGCAAAGCGUAUUCGCUCCCUGGUCAUCGAAACCCCAACAAUUCCAUCACAACUAGACGUAGGCUUUUACCUUCAUCUUAAGGGGCCGAACUAGUAUAAAACUCUCUUGCGUCCCUUGUCCGCUUUAACCCCUUUAAGUUAACCCGUAGAGAUGGCUCCACGACUAAGUCCUUUCUCUAGGACAUCCGCCGUGACAAAACCACGACAUAUAUAUAUAUAUAUAUAUGUGUGUGUGUGUGUGUGUGUGUGUGUGUGUGUGUCACGUCCUAUAUGUUAUGAGUGUUAUCUUAUUAUUAUUUUUUGUGGGUAGUUAUGAGUGUUAUAUAUAUUUUAUGUGUUGUUAUAUUUAUUUGUCCCAAGUUUUGGCACGCCUAACAAUUUUGUUUUUGCGAAUAAAUACUGGUGGGGGUGUGCCAGCCAUGAGAGUCCACAGCCGCGCGUGCGUCCCUCCUAGAUCGGCUAAUCUGUAAAAAAAAGAGAUGGUGUGGAACAAAGUUUGGAUUUAAUUUUGGCCACCCCCACUAGUAUACAUAAACACUAUUCUGAUCACGGGAUGAGAAUAAUAUUCUGAUCACAACCUCACCUGCCCGCUAGUAGUAUGUUGAACUUCCCUCUGAACUAGUUUGAACUUCCGCCAACAUUGCCCAAACGGGGCUUGCAAUAUACCGUUGGAAAGCUAUGGACACCAGUAUCAUGACCCAACUUAACUUUUUGUCAAAAUGUAAGCGGUUUAAUAGCAGUUUUGAAAACCGUUUUUUCUUCACACAAAAAUGUGAACCAUAUUUUUGAUCGCAUUUCUAAAUCAUUUAUCGGAAUGAAGCAAAUAAUAUGGCGUUGGAAAGCUGCUGCAAAACCGCUCCUUCCACAUGUUGAAAGUUUUCUUUAAUUCCCUAUGAUUAAAGAGUAAUUUGGAAAAACGUAAAAUUUCGCAAUCCGCACAACCGAGUUCGUAUUUUCGAUGUCAUUUCUAAACGGCUAAUCCAAUUGAGACAAAUGAUAUGGCGUUGGAAAGCUUAUGAAAAUGCGCUACUUUUUCAUGUUGAAAGAUUUUUCUAAUUUUAAAUGGUUUAAGAGUAAUUUAGAAAACGAUACAAGUCCUACCGAGUUCGUAUUUUCGAGCUCAUUUUUUAACCGUGCAUCCGAAUGCAACAAAUGAUACGGAGCUGGAAAGCUUGAACAAAUGCGAAACCUUUUGGUAUGUAUUAUUUCUCCCAAUUCUUUAUGGUUUUAAGUCAAUUUCGAAAAUGAAAAAAAGGUAUUUUCGCUGUAUUUUCUACAAACUUUAGCGGAUUGAGGCAAAUAAUAUACCGCUGAAAAGCUACGGAAAAUGCGAAACUUUUUCAUGUUGAUGGUUUUCUCUGAUUCCUAGCCGUUUUCAAAUAAUUGCGAAAAUGGCGAGAUCGUUCGUUCUACCUUUAUCGCGAAACAGACUUUUCGAAAAUGCACCGCGUGAAGAACCUGAACUUCUCGGCACGUGUACUUGAACUUCACUCUGUUUUUCCCGUGCUUUUUUUUGCUCCCAGCUCUCCAUCCACUCACCGGAAUUGAGCAAGUGAUAUACCGAUGGAAAGCUGCUGUAAACACGCAACUUUCCUGUGUUGAUCAUUUUUUCAUACUCGUGACGGUUUUAAAAGUUUUUCAUCCAAAAUUCGUUUAGUGUAGUAGUUGAACUUCUGUUGCAGUUUUGUUUUGAACUUCACUCAGUUUUUGACGUGCUGUUUUUUUCCUGUAACUCCCAAACCACUUACCGGAAUUGAGCAAAUGAUAUACCGAUGGAAAGCUAUUGAAAACACGCAACUUUUUCGUCUUAAUCAGUUUUUCAUACUCGCGGCGGAUCAAAAUAAUUUUUUGAAUGCGUAAAAAAUGUGUUUUUAACGGUAUACAUAAAACUUUUAAACCAUUCAUCCAAAUAUAGCAUAUAAUAUAUCGUUGGAGAGCUUAUGAACAUGAGCAUCUUAUUCAUGUAGACAGACGUUACAAAUUAUUGUCAUUUGAGAGAAGUUUUAAAAAUGGCAAGAAUAACGUUGUUUUUUGCCUGUUUUUAACAUGUAAUUGAAGGUCAGAUGUCUCACACUAGAGAUCUCGAACUGCACCGGGAGGAGCACGUGAACUUCUUGCAACAAACCUUUUAGGCUUGUUGUUUUUUAUUUGUUUUAUUCUCAUCUGAAACGCCUUCCGUUUAGUAGUUCAACUUCCCGCUGUUUUCACGUUGAACUUCUGUGACGUAUUUUCGUUUGUAAUUCUUCUCAUCCAUUCGUUAGUGUUACACAAAUGAUUUUCCUUUUGUACAAACCAUUCUCACAAUAAUUUUUUUAAUUUUCUCCGACCGAGGACUUGAACUUAUAACGACAAAAAUUUUGACCUUGCCUUUUUAUUUCAUUUUUGUCAUAUUAAACACACACCAUGUAGUACAUGAACCUUUUCCACUUUUAUAAUUUGAAUUUUUUAUUUUAUUUUUGAAAUCAAAUUGCUCCCAAACAAUAAUUGAACUUCUUUGUGGAUUGAGAGAAUUAUUUUCAAAUGCAAAAAACAAUUCUUUUUUGUGUUUCCGAACAUGGAAAUACAAGGUGAACCUCUCUCGCAAGAAUUUUUGGACUUCUCCGGACAGAGCACUUGAACUUCUUGCAACAAACCUUUUAAAAUUUUAGUUUUCUAUUCUUAUAUUCUUACCUGAAACGCAUUCCAUGUAGUAGUUGAAUUUCCCGCUGUUUUCACCUUGAACUUCUGUCACGUAUUUUUGUUCAACCUCUCUCAUACGAAUUUUUGAAUUUUCUCGGGCUGAGCACUUGAACUUGUAGCAACAAAACUUUCGGCCUUUGAUUUUUUCAUUCUUUUUUAAUACAAAUUGCACAGCGUGUAGUACGUGACCUUCUCGCAAUUAUCAAUUUGAACUUCUCUUGGUUACGGGAAAAUAUUUAAGUUUUUUAUAGACAUUAAACCGCUCUACUUUUUUUAUUGGUUUUAAUCUUUAGUAUUGGGGAAAUCUGAGUUUUUAUAAACAUUAAACAACUUCAUUUUUUUUAAUUUGGACUUUUUGGUGUUAUUCAUUACUAACGGGAAAAGUCAUAGUUAUGUAAUAAAUAUCGAACUGGUCAAGUAUUUAAAGUUGAACUUCUAGAUCUUAACAAAACAGGGGCAAAUAUAUGGUUUACAAACUUUUUAAACUACUCGAUUUUUUAUUCUUUAGUAACGAGGAAAAUCUGAGUUUUUUAUAAACAUUAAAUUGCUCCAUCUUUUAAUUUGGACUUCUUGUUUUAUUUUCCAUUAAUGGCAAAAAUCCAAGUUUUGUAAGAAAAGAAAAACACUGAACCAUUCCCUUAUUUUAAUUUGACCUUCUAGGUUUUUUUAGAAACGGGUAUCAUCCUUUUCUAUAACUUCAAAUUUAAAACAUGAAAAAUCCUUUUUUUAGAAACGAGGGAGAUCAGGGGACUUGAACGACCUGGGUUCACCAAUUUGAACUUCACGCAAAAUUGAAAAACAAUUAUUUACUCGGUUUCUUGCAAACGAGGGAUAUCUGGACGUACAUCAAGUCAAUUUUUUCUUAAGCCAAAUACAGAAACAAUGGAUCAAGAAAAAAACAUAUUUUUAGUUAUUCUCUCGGCUGUUUCCAUACAAACAAAGACAUGUUGUAACUCUCAUUUCUCACCACACUCUGAACUAAAAAAACGUAGAAAAACAAACUUUUGGGGGAUGGUUGGUGCUCCCUCAAGCUUGGGGAAAUAACUACAGGAGAACCAAAACUGAUUUUUUUAAUGUUGGCACUUUAGGUGAAUGAAACCACAUGCUCCUUUUUUUCAUCAAGUAGGAUAACACAGCGAACAUCGAUGGGCGUCUGUGCUCAUCUUUUUUUUAUAGUUUUUGGUGAAGUUCGAUUUUUGCCCUGCUGAUUUGCAGUAGCAUAGUAGUGCAAUCAUAUUGCGGGGCGCUGAUGACCGAAAGUAUGAAAUCAAAACUAUGAGGCCCAGAUCUCGUCAGAGCAUCCGGGAGCGCUACAUAUGUGAACCUCCAGCGGCGGCGUAGUUGAACGACCCAGAGGUGGCACUGAUGAACGUCAUGCUGCAGCGGUGGCGUCGAUGAAAUGAACUUUUUUUACUCUCACAUCACUAUUCAGAACACAUCUAGAAUCAAGGACGAAUAAGAGGAACACACCAAUAAAAUAUUCCAUGCUCAACGUCCAAGCGCAUGAGCAUUAUGCACUUUACAUGAUUAUGGUUUAGUACUAACUAGCACAGCCAGGAGCAACUUUAAUCCUUCAAGAAGAAAAGAGCAACUUUACGUAGUCAGCAACCUAGUUACCUGAACUUCUGAAGAACAAAAACAAGGACGAUGUAGAGUUAGAUUUUCAGAGUGGCAAGUUCCUCUAAAUUGCCAAACAAGAAUCACUUGUGAAGAUAGAUGGGUAGUCGCCUUAGUACAAACAUGCAGAAGCGGUGGCAUCUCAACAAGCAAGGCAACAGAGGGAGAGGAGCAACAGGAACGCCACACCAUUGUGAUCGAUGCUGCUGCGGCUGCACCAUUUGCAUUGCCUGAACUUCUCUACGUCUGUCUUGCGUGCACACUCGUAUGCAAACGUAUGAAGGUAUUGCAUUCUGCUUCUAGCUUGGCUUCUGUUAACACCGCAUGUGGCUGUCAUGUGCACGCGAGCACCACACACGCUCCGCCCGUGAAGCGGACAUAAGCACACAUGCGCCGUUGGACUACACAGGCUCACCGGCCGAACUUCACAGGCUGGAUGGAGCUCGUUGUUCCUUCCAGCGGAGUCGCGCCCAGCGCGGCGAGCAAGACCAUGCCUCAGGCCAGCUCCGUUGGUCACCAACGAGCAGGAUGAUACCACGGGCCAAAGACGAACUAUGUGUACGCGCUACCGAACUGCAGCCUGCCCGGCUCGUGCGUGCCACUGAGCAACCUCGUUCAUGGACCGAGGAGAAGCCACCGGAGCUACUGCCCCAUUCUUUAAGAUCCAAGGAGAACUGAGGAGGAGGAGUAUAGAGGACGUGGAGGGAUCUCAUAGUUAACCUCACCGACGGCGCGGCAGGGACGGGGGUCGAGGAUGGCUAUGGGGUGGGGCGCGGUGGCCUCGGGCGGCAGAGGGAGGCGCGUCCUGACUCGGGGAGGCGGCGGGAGGAGCGUGGCGCCCAGGUGGGCCACCGACGGGAGGCGCGCCAGAGCCACGGGCGGGGCGCUGUGGCCUCGGGCGGCAACGACAGGCGCGUCAGCAGCUAGAAAGGGACUGUGUGGGGAGGCGGCCAUGGACUGUGUGCUAGGUUGAUGGUGCUCGAGGAUCCCCGACGGCGGCGGCGAUUGGGACGCGGAGGAGCGUGCGGCCAUGGCGNNNNNNNNNNNNNNNNNNNNNNNNNNNNNNNNNNNNNNNNNNNNNNNNNNNNNNNNNNNNNNNNNNNNNNNNNNNNNNNNNNNNNNNNNNNNNNNNNNNNNNNNNNNNNNNNNNNNNNNNNNNNNNNNNNNNNNNNNNNNNNNNNNNNNNNNNNNNNNNNNNNNNNNNNNNNNNNNNNNNNNNNNNNNNNNNNNNNNNNNNNNNGGAUCGAGGGAGGUCGGGGUGGGGAUCGGGGCUAUUGGGAGUUCGGGAACACCUCGUGGCUCCUAUAUAGGGCGGGUCGUGAUCCAAAUAACUAUUCUAAUCCCGGAUUAGAAUAGUGCCAAUAUAUAUAUAUAUAUAUAUAUAUAUAUAUAUAUAUAUAUGGAAAAUACAUCCUACCAUCUGGGGUAGUCACCCCACAUGUCUCAUAUAUUACCAUGUGGUAGUAUAUAUUCUACUUUAUCAUUUUAAGUAUGUUCAUAUAUUAUAUAUAAGAUACUUCAAAGUGAGUUACAUGAAAAAAUUGCAAGUUGGCCCAUGGUUUUUAUUAUAUUUAUGAAAUACGUAUAUAUUUAUACAUAAAAAGGAGCAUACUCAAAAUACGAUAUAUACUACCAAAAAAGUAGUAUAUAUAGUACGUAAACAAUCUUAUAUAUAUACUACAUACUACACGUACAUACUCUCCAAUUUGAUAGAUACUACAUACAACAUACAAAACUCAAGUGGUGGUAACUAUCACUGGUGGUAAAUAAAAUUCGUCACCCUGGGUGAGGAAUAGUUAUUCUUCAUCCCCCUCUAUUUUAUCACCAGUACACUGUAAUUUUACGUUCUGUAAGUUUUGUCUUAUUUCUGACGUAAGAAGAGACCGUAAGAAAAUAUAUAAUCGCCGUAAAAAAUAUUUUUUAUUAUGUAAAAUUACAAACGUAAAAAAAUAGUGUAAAAUAUGCAUAAACUCCAAUUUUUUUUGUCUUAUGACCUAUAUUUUUAUUUUUUAUACCAAAUUUUACGUAGUGAAUCAAUAAGAAUGUAACUAUUUGAAUUUCAAAUGUAAUUUAAUUAUGAAGUGAUCGUAAGAUUACCUCGGGUGAAAAAUAGCAUCACUAUAUAUAUAUAUAUAUCCACUAAGGGUUUUAGUCCUUUAACUUUUAAAGGAUCAGCUAGAGAUGGCCUUAUGACUUGUUUAUUUCAGUUCUUCACAAUGUGAUACUCUAUAUGUGCAACUAUUUACCGUGCAGUUCAAUUUCAUCAAUAAAAGUUUCAACAAUACCACUUUCCAUUAUGAUAUUUGGUUGCUAUUAAGGAUAUUGCAGUUAACAUGCCUUUUUUUAACAAUAACUAGUGUACUUUAGACCUGCACAAUACCAGUUUGAAUGACUAUUUGCUUGUUUUCAAAUGUUAUGCCUGAUGCAGUUAACACACCUUUCCACUUCUUGUUUUGCUUAACUAGCGUGCUUAAGCCUGCACACUGAAGCUAUCAUUUGUAGAUUCUGUUGUCUACCAUGGAUAGAUUUGGUUGAUGUUUAGCCUGUUGUGCUUAACAUGCCUUUAUAUGUACUCAUGCAGGACAAUAUUGAGAACAGUGUUGUUUUCCAUCGAGGUUAUUUUCAUCACAUUGCUUAUAUGUACUCACUAUUCAGGAUAUCGGUAGCUGGUACCAUAUAGCCUAGGGCUGAUAAGGGAUUAAUCAUCGAAUCAGACAUUUCAAUGACUAUAUUUGUAACCCAUUUAUCAGUAGGUUAACUAGGGCCAUAUUUAAUAUAUCUGAGGCUACAUAGCAACAUACAUUGUACUGAACGACUAAAUAUGCAAUCCCAGGCUACAUAGCUACAAGGAAGAGUGUUACCUUAAUGUUCGGAUGAUGUCUAGAUAUACAUGUAAUAAAAUCUUAUAUAAUGGGAUGGAGGGAGUGUUGUACUACAUCAUUUUUCAAUUGUUGUUUAGCUUCUAAUAUUAACUUGGUUCUUUUAGGUACAUAUAUCAUUGCCAAAGUUCCACACUUUGACCCUUUCUAGGGCAAUGAGAUAUUCAUGAACCAACAUCAAGUGAGGAAACUGAUAAAGAUUAUUAUUAAAAUGGGUCCAAAGACAUCAAUCGAACUAUUUGUUUACACUUUAUGCAAGACAACAGUGAACUGCAGGAUGGUAAGUAAGAACCCUGUAGCCUUCUUUUUACUGCCUGUAAUGAGUUGUGUUAGAUGACAAUGUCUGAAUCUUUUUUCCUUUGUAGUGGAUCCUGAAUCAGUUUACUCAAGAUUACCUCUCAAACUACAUGAUUGGCGGCCGGCCAUCGUAAGGGGUUGGACUAGAAUCCUGCAUGCCUUCUGCAUCUAGGGGAGCACAAUAGGGCCAUUCGGCCGCUUCACCUUGUUCAGCAACCGGAAUGUCUGUCGCCUCUUUCUUUACCAUUUGUAAUACUACAAGUAUAGAACCCUGGUUCAUCAUUCUUUAUUUGGUGCUUAUGUAAUUCUUAAACAUAUGUACCUGUGAAUCGAAUAAUGCAUUGGUUGUUUGAACCUGAUGGAUAUGAAUAAAGCUAAAGCUUACUUUCAAGUUUAAACUAGGUACAAUUUUAAAUAGAAGCAAUUAAAUUAGGGCGAAAUUAGGGUGCACAGGUCAUUACGGCACACAAGGUUAAUAAAGCACAGCGUGUGCGAUAUACAUCAUAAUGCAACACGGUUCACGGAGAGGAAACGCGUGUAACAAUGCACAUAGUUGCCGUUUGCAAAGCGUGUGUGAUGUUAGACACUAUCGCAUACGGUGCGGGAAAACUAAAUGUGUGUGAUAGUCUACCUAUCGUACACGGUUUAUAAUCAUGAACUGUUUGUGAUGUGCCAGGCAUCGUAAAACUCCCGUGCCUGGAAUCUGCCUGGAAAACUCUCGUGCCUGGAAUCUGCCUGGAUUUAUGUAAAACCACAAAACUCCGACUGCCAUGGCAAUGCGAGCACAAACGAGUAGCAAGGAUGAAGCGUUUGGGAUAUUCGAGAUAUCAGAAACGGUUAUAUAGGGACAAUUGUAUGCAUCAAGGCUCCCUAUCCCCGACGGUUUCUGGGUCGUGUGGGAAGGACCCCCCUAUCGCCCUCACUCACUAGGUGACGGUUCCAAAUGCCGUCGUGGAAAGGGGUUAAAAACCAUUUGUAUAGCACCGACACGAACUAGUGUGUCCUCUCCAUCUUCCAUUCAAAGCAGUUGCGUCGACAGCCAAAUAGGGCCCGCAACCAUCCAGAAACCCAUGCCAGCAAGCCUUGAAACAAACAAAAGCCCUCCUGAAGGUUUUCUUCUCAAAUGACUUCCCUCUUAUUUUGUAUGAAACUGUAUGCUUGUCAAUCUCUACAACACUCCCUGGACUAGCCAUCUCCACUUCAUCUUCGUAAGUGUAAAGCAACUGAAAACUCUCAUUCCAUGGACCAUUUAUCAUGUCAAGAUACAUUUCCCUACCAUAAAAAAAUCCUCAUGUAAGGUAUAUCAAUUUUGUACUUCUCAGAAAGCUUCCCAUGGUGUUGUUGGACCAAGUGUUGGUGUUUCUCUCAGCCAAUCCAAGAUUGCAUCUGCCACCCACCUAGUCUUUGCUAGCUUUGUUUUGGUCUUUCCCCCCUCCUCGUCCAGGUGGAUAACUGUGCUGGUGUGGGUUUUGUUUUAUCUGAAAGAAAAUAAAGUACAAUUAAGAAACAUUACACAAUGAUCUGAAAAUAUAAUGGAUCAAUAAACUGAAAUCCACAAUGAGGUGUAAUACCUGAAUCAAUUUGCUCUUUCACAUAUGGGAUGCAUGCAGCCUCCACCUACACCUAUCAUAUGGGCAAUAAAUAGUGAAACUUGUUGGCUCACUCCUAUCAAUAACAUAAUUAUUUCCAGUGAGAAUGCAAUAUGUAGUCACUGCUGUCGGUGUCAAAACCGGCGGAUCUUGGGUAGGGGGUCCCGAACUGUGCGUCUAAGGUCGAUGGUUGCAGGAGACGGGGGACACGAUGUUUACCCAGGUUCGGGCCCUCUCUAUGGAGGUAAUACCCUUCUUCCUGCUUGAUUGAUCUUGAUGAAUAUGAGUGUUACAAGAGUUGAUCUACCAAGAGAUCAUAAUGGCUAAACCCUAGAGGCCUAGCCUGUAUGACUAUGGUAAUGAGUAUAUCCUUUCAGGACUACGCCCUCCGGUUUAUAUAGACACCGGAGGGAUCUAGGGUUACAUAGAGUCGGUUACAUAAGAAGGAAUCUUCAUAGUUGGUCGCCUAGCUUGCCUUCCACGCCAAGGAGAGUCCAAUCCAGACACGGGUAAAGUCUUCGGUCUUCAUGUCUUCAUAGCCCACCAGUCCAGCCCAUGGAUAACAGGCCGGACGCCCGAGGACCCCUUAGUCCAGGACUCCCUCAGUAGCCCCCGAACCAGUCUUCAAUAACGAAGUGUUCGACACACAAAUUGUCUUCGGCAUUGCAAGGCGGGUUCCUCCUCCGAUGACCUCAAAGUGAUGUAUUCGGCCGUUGAUCAAUGUCGCCCCCUCGGCUUCUGCGCGUCAAAUAACUUCGUCUUCCACGUGUCCAGCGAAUGCAGAAGGUCAGGGUAUUUUUGCAAAUAGCACCCCGUCCUGGCAAGGAAGAGCGCCUAUUUAAAGAGAUUGGAUCCUAGAUCCAUUCGGCACCCCGCAGAGAAAAAUCCCCGGAGACUGCUAGGAGAAACCAUUCCAACAUGGCUAGCGUUCCCAGCUCCUCCUCCCGUUCCGGCCCAGAGAAAGGCGGGUGGGAGAGGUGUUCUGUGUCCCACAGUCAAUUGACGAAGCUGCAGACGCAGGGAUUUCUUCCUCCUGCAGAUCUAGUCCUUGUUCGAGCGGGGCUAGCUUCCUUCAAUGGUGAGACUCAUGCAGAGGGCUUCCCCAAUCCAUCCGGGGGAGAGCGGGUGUGUUUCGUCCCCUACCUGCUAAGAGGCGUCAGAUUUCCAAUCCAUCCAUUCCUCCGAGGGCUUCUGGAAUAUUAUGGCCUCCAGCCGCACAACUUCACCCCUGCCUCCAUUCUACACAUGGCAGGUUAUGUUGCCUUAUGCGAAUUAUUUCUGGGCAUCGAGGCCCAUUUUGAGCUAUGGAAGAAGUUGUUCUGUCUUGUCUCGCGCAAUCAUGAGGGGUCAAUAUUUGAAGUGGGUGGAGCCGAAGUAUGGCGUAUCGCCGAUACCGGAUAUCUGUCCGGCACACCAAGGAAGGCAUAUGAAGAAUGGCCUUCCGAAUGGUUCUACAUUGAGGACGUCGCGCUUCCCGACCUAGUUCGAAAGGGUCUUCCUGAAUUUGCGAGUGUUCCGCUGAAGAAACACCACAGUUGGUGUCCCCGGAGUCUUGAAGAGGAUGGCAACGCAGAAGUUCGUCAGCUCAUGAGCAAGAUAAAGACGCUCGCUCAGUCCGGACUCACAAUAAUCGAGGUAAUGGCAACCUCCAUAGUGCGAGGGGUUCAGCCGCUACAAUACAGAGGGCUGCCAAUGUGGCACUAUAAUGGAGAGGAUGACGCCCCCCGUUGUGGCCGGAAAUGUCAGGAUACCCCCGCCGCUCUGGCCAAGAUAUUGGCCGAGCUGUUUAAAGGGGAGGAAGAGGAAUUUCUUCGCAUUAAGCGCAGAGAUGGGUAUUCUAUGUAUGAUCCUCCUAGUUGGGUAAGCCUCAACCCUCUGUUUCACUCAUUCCACUUCCAGAUUACUUUUGAUAAAUUUCAAAUCCGUUCAUUAUAACAGCAUUGGCGAAAGGUCACCGAAGGACUUCACAGUCCCGCCCCACAGCCGGAGAACCACAACCGAGAGCUUGAUAUAUUCGUGGUGCUCACGGAGGGAGUGUUUUACCAGACGAGCUAUGAUGGCACAGAAGUGGCCAUCACCACCGACUACCCUGGCCUUCUUCCCGUUUCGCGUGUAAGUAAUCAAGAGACACCUCCUCUAAAAGAGUGCGCGUAUUCUAUCUUACCCACCGUACUGUCUUGUGCUCCAAAGAGGAGGCGUUCGGCGAUUCCGAGGAGAUCGGCUCCCACACCGGGCCAGCCUUCGAAGAGGAAGGCCGGUGAAGACACAGCCAGGCUUUCAUCGAAGAGGUACGGAUCCAUAAAUAUGUUUUUCAGCGGCCGCACCCGACUGUGACUUUGUGCGUUUGUCUAGUUCCAAGAAAAGGGUCCGCUGGACUAUGUCCGAGGGGUCCGGCCAGCUGUACUCCCAACAACCGGGAUUUAGACCCCGCCAGAGAAACGGGAGCCGGUACGGGAGCAACGCCGGACUAUCCUUUGGCCGGGGGUUCGGAAAAUAUGUCCGUUACCAACUCGGAAGUAGAGAGCGCCAUGAACCAUCGGCGCUGCAGGGCUAUUUUACGAGACCCCGAGUUCUCGGAAGAGGCAUUCAAUGCCUUCAGCUCGGCUGACGCAUACAUCCGAGCUGCUCGAAACGGGCUUAGCAGAGCCACAAAGCAGCAUUUAACAGAUGUGCAGGUAAGUUUACUGUGCCCAAAAUAUGAUAACCAUGUGCCAGUAGCCCCCGAGACUUAAAGUAGUUGGCACAACUGAUUUGAGGAUCGUUGUAUAACCAGGCUCUUACGGAGAAGAACGUCCUGUUAGCCCAAGAGCUAAAAAGGUGUCAGACUCAGCUAACUGCUGUCGCCGCCGAACUGGAGGAAUCCAAGAAGGCGUCACCUUGUAAUAUUCCCCUCCAUCGAGAAAAUAUGAUUAUAUGCCAUUAAUGCUAACAGUGUUGCCUAUACCAUGACAUAAUUGUUAGUGGAACUCAAAGAGGCGCUGGAAGUCGCGCAAGCGAAUGAACAAGAAGCCAAAAGGCUACAUGCUACGGGCGAACAUGUGCUGAAGCAGGUCAUUGUUGAGAAAAACCAACUCCAGGAUUGCAAGACCCAGCUGGGCGAAGAGCUGAAGGAUGUGCGGGCCCAGCUAGCCGAUUCCGUAAAGGAGAACAAGAAGCUGCGGGGCGGCAUAUUUAGUAUGUGUCUGAACUAUUUUUAAAGUAGUUCGGAGAUAAAUGGAACUGAUAUAGUUAUGAUUGCAGGCAUAUUGACGAGCCGUCCUGAAGAGGAGGUGUCCGGAUCAUCAAGUGAUCUGCUGCAAAGGCUGUCGCAAGUGCACGAGCAUGCUCGGCUAGCCAUGCGGAGUGUUGCCAAGGCUUUAUGGCCAUCCGCCUCCUCUCCAGGAAGUACGGAGGAGCUUGUAGAGCUAUUCAAGGGAGCGUGGCGGCGUAUCCGACUAUGGAAGAUAUCGGCCUGCCGAGAGGGUGCACGAGAGGCCUGGGCCAUGGUGAAAACGCGAUAUACCAAGAUGGAUCCUAAUCACAUGGCCGGGUUGGACCGCUAGGGUCAAAUGGGGAAGAAAUUCCCGUUAGUUUAGUAUAUGGCCAAGUAGAGGUGGCCGCCAAAUAUUCCCAACAGGAUUGUAAGUUGGACCUCCGGUUGGAUGAUAUAGAGGGGGAAGUGUUUGAGUCCAAGUGACUAUGUACUUUCCAUACCCUGUGUAAUUCUAGCUGAAUGUAUAGCAUUUGUCAUGGCAGACCUUUUUGCUUCCACCUCCGUACCCGAGGGUGUGGAGUGUUUCCGAAUACCCUCGCGGCCGAAUAGACCGGGGUAUUCCUGGAAAACUAGGCGUAGGGGUCAUAGUUGCUUGAACAGACAAGUUGUAUCCUGCUAGUUAUGUUAUAUUACAUUGAGAUCAUAAGAAACAUCUUCCAGAGAGAAUAGUUCCGUUAAGGGUUCCUUUCCCUGGGUGUGCAUGUAUUAAUGUACAUGUCCGAAUUGUGAUGGAAAAAUAACAGUGUAUGUAACUUCUGGGGGUUUGCAAUGGAGUAAAUGCAAAAACGUCUUUAAUUCACCGACCGAAUAUUCCCUUAAGAACGCUAGCUUUCCGCUUCACCCAGUCUGAGGUACACAUCCGGACGACCCGACAGUAACAAUCACAGAGGUGCUCCCUUUAUGCCCUAGCCGAACUAACGGGAACGUAGGGCAUAAGCACAGGAGCCAGGCAACCCAGCUUGGCCAAAACUUAAGUCAUAUCGAUGCAUAUAGUGCCGAAGAAAAGGUACAUAUGGAAGAACUCAUAUGUGAAGAGCUUGAUGCUCGAGGAGUAAUAAUAAAAAGCUUCUGUCCAAGAAGCCCUCAGGUAUAAUGGACAUACAUAUUUUAAAUGUGUAUGUGUCAGGGGUGCGCGGUCUAACCGUUCCAAAGCUUUAAAGCGAGAAAGGAAAAAGUAAUCGGAAAAGAGAGAGAAAAUAAUGGAAACUACAGGGGAGAAGGAGACGAACAAGGAGUUCGGCGCUAGGCAUAGAAUCUUCGGAGUCUGGCCGCGUUCCAGGGGUUCGGCUCGAGACGAUUGACUGAUGCAUCACGAAGACGGUACGCUCCUCCGGUGAGAACUUCGUCAAUUAUGAAGGGACCCUCCCAUUUGGGCUUGAGUUUUUCCUUUUUCUUCUCUGGCAGGCGUAGAACGAGUUCGCCAACGUUGUAAGUCUUGGCCCAUACUUCUCUACUUUGAUAUCUUCAAGCCUGCUAUUAGUAAAAUGCUGAGCGGGCCUUUGCGACGUCGCGCUCCUCCUCCAGGGCAUCAAGGCUGUCCUGCCGAUCUAGCUCGGUUUCUCUCUCUUCGUACAUACGCACUCGAGGUGAGUCAUGAAUAAUAUCGCAGGGCAAAACAGCCUCUGCGCCAUACACCAUGAAGAAAGGUGUGUAUCCGGUAGUACGGUUGGGCGUGGUCCGCAGCCCCCAGAGUACGGAGUCGAGCUCCUCAACCCAGUGCUUGUCUGAUUCUUUCAAAGACCGCACUAGUCUGGGCUUGAUGCCGCUCAUAAUAAGACCAUUGGCUCGUUCAACCUGACCGUUGGUUUGCGGGUGGUAGACGGAGGCGUAAUCGAGUUUAAUGCCAAGAUUAGUACACCAGGUUUUUACCUCGCUGGCCGUGAAAUUAGAGCCGUUGUCGGUGAUGAUGCUGUGUGGGACACCAUAACGGUGCACAACGCCGGAUAUGAAUUCUAUCACCGGGCCGGACUCAGCCGUUUUGACCGGUUUAGCCUCUAUCCACUUAGUGAAUUUGUCCACCAUGACCAACAAAUAUUUUUUCUUAUGGCUUCCCCCUUUAAGAGGUCCAACCAUAUCCAGUCCCCAGACCGCGAAAGGCCAAGUAAUGGGGAUAGUUUGUAAGGCAGUUGGGGGCAUGUGGCUUUGUAUGGCGAAGAGUUGGCAUCCGACGUAGCAUUGGACGAGGUCCUGCGCGUCUGUUCGGGCUGUCGGGCAAUAAAACCCAGUGCGGAAGGCCUUGCUAACAAGGGCCCGAGCUGCGGCAUGGUGUUCGCCGAGACCAGCGUGAAUUUCCGCUAAAAGCUGCCGCCCCUCUUCCUCGGAGAUACAUCUUUGAAGUACUCCUGUAGUACUUUUCUUGUAGAGCUCUCCAUCGUGAACCUUGUAGGCCUUCGAACGCCGGACAAUGCGGCGGGCCUCAUUCUGGUCUUCGGGAAGCUCCUUCCUAUUAAUGUAGGCCAAGAAGGGUUCAGUCCAUGGGGCAAUGACUGCCAUAAUGAGAUGGGCCGACGGUGUUAUUUCGGUGGCUGAGCCCCCCGGUACCGUCUGUAUGUUCGGGAUUUGAGGUUGUGUUCGGAUCUGGACUGUUGUUGCCGCCCUCCCCUUGCCAUACCACGGAUGGCUUGAAAAGCCUUUCCAGGAAAAUGUUGGGUGGGACAGGGUCGCGCUUGGCGCCGAUGCGAGCAAGGACGUCCGCUGCUUGAUUGCUUUCCUGGGCGACAUGAUGAAAUUCUAGCCCUUCGAACCGAGCCGAUAUUUUUAAGAUGACAUUACGAUAAGCUGCCAUCUUUGGAUCCUUGGCGUCAAAGUCUCCGUUUAUUUGAGAUAUUGCGAGAUUUGAAUCCCCGCGCACCUCUAGGCAUUGUAUGCCCAUGGUUACGACCAUCCAAAGACCAUGCAAUAGGGCCUCGUAUUCGGCUGCAUUGUUGGAGUCUAUGUAUAGUAUUUGGAGUACAUACUGGACGACAUCUCCAGUGGGGGAUGUUAACACGACUCCCGCUCCUAGCCCCGCCAGCAUUUUGGAGCCGUCAAAAUACAUAACCCAAUGGGAAUAUGCGUCGUACUCUUUAGGGAGUUUGGCCUCUGUCCAUUCGGCGACGAAGUCAGCCAGUACUUGGGAUUUGAUGCCUCGAUGUGGCUUGUAUGUUAUGUCAAAUGGAAGUAGCUCUAUGGCCCAUUUGGCUAUCUGUCCCAUGGCAUCGCGGUUGUUUAUUAUGUCAUUGAGCGGGACUUCAGAAGCCACCGUGAUUGAACACUCCUGGAUGUAGUGUCGUAGCUUUCGGGAUGCCAUGAAGACCGCGUAUGCUAUCUUUUGAUAAUGGGGGUACCGGGAUUUGCAUGGUGUGAGGACAGUAGAUACGUAGUAUAAUGGUUUCUGAAGUGGGAAUUUGUGUCCGUCCUGUUCUCGUUCGACGACGAGCACGGCGCUCACCACCUGAUGUGUUGCCGAUAUGUAUAGCAACAUGGGUUUGCCAGCAUUUGGUGCGGCCUGGAUUGGGUUGUUUGCUAGGAGGGCCUUUAUUUCCUCCAGUCCGGCAGUCGCCGCGUCUGUCCAUUCGAAGUUAUCGGUGCGCCGUAAGAGGCGAUAGAGUGGCAGUGCCUUUUCUCCUAAUCUGGAGAUAAAGCGGCUUAACGCUGCCACGCAACCAACUAGUUUUUGGACUUGCUUGAGGUCGGUUGGCGUGGCCAACUGUGACAAGGCUCGGAUUUUGGCUGGGUUUGCUUCUAUCCCUCUAUUGGAGAUGAUGAAGCCCAGCAGUUUUCCCGCAGGGAUGCCGAAGACACACUUUUCCGGGUUGAGUUUAAUGUCAUACGCAUGGAGGUUGUCAAAUGUAAGACGUAAGUCGUCUAUUAGUGUUUCGACGUGCUUAGUUUUGAUGACGACGUCAUUGACGUAAGCUUCUACUGUCUUGCCGAUCUGCUUUUCCGGGCAGGUUUGAAUCAUACGUUGGUAUGUGGCGCCGGCGUUCUUGAGCCCGAAGGGCAUGGUGUUGAAGUAGAAUGGCCCAUAUGGGGUAAUAAAUGCUGUUGCAGCUUGAUCGGACUCCUUCAUUUUGAUUUGAUGGUAUCCAGAAUAUGCAUCGAGGAAACACAGUGAAUCGUGUCCUGCGGUGGCGUCAAUGAUUUGAUCAAUGCGAGGGAGGGGGAAGGGAUCCUUAGGGCAAGCCUUGUUGAGGUCUUUGAAAUCGACACACAGGCGCCAGGAUUUGUCCUUCUUUGGUACCAUCACCAAGUGUGCCAGCCAGUCCGGAUGUUUGAUUUCUCUAAUGAAUCCGGCUUCGAUAAGUUUGGCCAGCUCCUCCCCCAUGGCUUGUCGCUUGGGCUCAGAAAAGCGCCGCAGUGUUUGCUUGACCGGUUUAAAUCCCUUUAAUAUAUUGAGGCUAUGUUCAGCCAGCUUGCGUGGGAUCCCUGGCAUAUCUGAAGGGUGCCAGGCAAAUAUGUCUCAGUUUUCACGCAGGAAUUCUCGUAGUGCGGCGUCAAUUGUUGGGUUCAGUUGUGCUCCGAUAGAUGCUGUCUUCUUGGGGUCCGUUGGGUGGACCUAGAAUUUGACUAUUUCUUCUGCUGUUUUUAAGGAGGUGGAUUUUGGGUGUUUGUCGAGUAUCACGUCGUCCCUAUCCACCGUGGGCGCAGUGCAGUUAACUCUUCGGCCGCGAGGGCUUCGGAUAGCGCCUCAAUGGCCAAGGAUGCGGUUUUGUUUUCAGCGUGGAGUGCUAUGUCCGGAUCACUGACGAGAGUGAUUAUACCGUUUGGUCCGGGCAUUUUGAACUUCAUAUACCCGUAAUGAGGUAUAGCUUGGAAGCGUGUAAAAGCAUCCCGCCCCAACAGGGCGUGGUAUCCGCUGUUGAAAGGGGCCACUUGGAAAGUGAUUUCUUCGGACCGAUAAUUCUCCAGCGUGCCGAAUACCACGUUAAGUGUGAUUUUGCCCGCGCACCGUGCCUCCCGGCUAGGAAUGAUUCCGCGGAAGGUUGUGCUACUUUGCUUGAUGCGGCUCCUGUCUAUUUCUAUUUUGUGGAGUGUGUCCUCGUAAAUGAGAUUUAGUCCGCUGCUGCCGUCCAUGAGGACCUUAGUAAGUCGAAACCCGUCCACGAUAGGACUGAGGACUAAUGCGGCUGGCACUCGGACUGUCCUAUACCUCGGUUCGUCACCGUCAUUAAAUGUUAUAGCUCUGUGUCGUUCCAAGGGUUUAUUGCAGCGAUUUGGCAGACUUCGGCGAGGUCGCUAAGUGCCCUUUUGCGUUUGUUGUUAGAAGCGAAUGUCUCGAAGACCCUCAAUACUCUUGUGUCGUCGUUUUCUGGAGGGUGCUGUUCUGGGGUGUCCUUGAUAAGGAUGUCCUCGCCGCUCUUGGCUACCUGCCGGAGUAUCCAACAUGCUCUAAGGCUGUGGGUUGCCACGGUAUCUGGUGCCGUGUGUAUUUUGCAUGGGCCAUCGAGCCAUCCCUCUAGAAUGGUGCCGUGCCGCGUAAUGGGCUUAUGUUUCUUGACUGUUGGACUAGGCGUGCCACGGGGGUGCGCCCUCUUCGCCUGUAGGAGGAGUUGAGUUGGGACCGACGGUUCUCAGCAAGCUGCCUGAGUUUUCCAGGUGCUUUCCAUCGUGCUGUACUUUUGUACGAUAGUUGCUAAGUCAGCGAAUUUUAGUAUGCGGCGGCGAUUGAUAGCGUUAUGGAUACCUUCGUCCGCGCAGUUGUUGCAGAACGCUGAUAUCAGGUCCUCGUCGCGGCAAUCUUUUACCUUAUCUUUGACAAGGAGGAAUCUGGCCCAGAAGUGGUGGACCGUUUCCUGAGACUGCUGUUUGAUGCUCAUGAAAGCGUCUAUGUCCGGGUGGGUGGGUGGAAUUAAAUCCGACCCUGACCCGAUCGAUUACCCGGAGUCUGAAGACCUUCCGGACUCAACAGUCCGGGUCCCGAAGUAUCUUCUGAUUGUUUAGGACUGUCGUCCGAUUCUAUGUUCGGAGGACCGGUCGCAUCCUUUCGCUAGUGGGUAUCCGGUUCUUCCAGAUCGGCGAUCCGGACAUAGUCCGUCUUUGAUAUAGAAGAGGACUCGCCAUCCUGCUCCUCGACUACCGCUAUCUGGUGGGUGACCGGUGGAGUUUUAAUCUCUCCUUGAUCGGUUUUAGGCCCGAUCCGACCGUAAUCAGUAGCGAUUCCCAAAGCCGCGAUGCGAUCUAGGAGCUCGUUCAAGGACGAAAACUCUACCGGAUCCAUCUGCUUGGAGUCUUGGAUUCCCCCCGGGUACUCUCAAUGAAAGCACCAAUGUCGGUGUCAAAACCGGCGGAUCUCGGGUAGGGGGUCCCGAACUGUGCGUCUAAGGUCGAUGGUUGCAGGAGACGGGGGACACGAUGUUUACCCAGGUUCGGGCCCUCUCUAUGGAGGUAAUACCCUACUUCCUGCUUGAUUGAUCUUGAUGAAUAUGAGUGUUACAAGAGUUGAUCUACCACGUGAUCGUAAUGGCUAAACCCUAGAGGCCUAGCCUCUAUGACUAUGGUAAUGAGUAUAUCCUUUCCGGACUACGCCCUCCGGUUUAUAUAGACACCGGAGGGAUCUAGGGUUAUAUAGAAUCGAUUACAUAAGAAGGAAUCUUCAUAGUUGGUCGCCUAGCUUUCCUUCCACGCCAAGGAGAGUCCAAUCCGGACACGGGUAAAGUCUUCGGUCUUCAUGUCUUCACAGCCCACCAGUCUAGCCCAUGGAUAACAGGCCGGACGCCCGAGGACCCCUUAGUCCAGGACUCCCUCAACUGCAUUACGACAAUCCACCAUCGAUUCGAAUAUGGUUCCUGGAGUAAGCUGAGGAUCUUCCUUGUUCCACUCAAUUGUUGGCAUGUCAUCACCAUCGUAUUCAUCUAAAACUAAGCUCUCAAUGUUCUCAUCCCUCUCUUGAUCAUCAGUGUCAUCAAAUCUAGCAUGACUGUUGGGCUCCUCCGGAUAUUCAUCUUCUAUUGCCUGUUGACUGACUGUACCUACCACUUCAGGGUAGAUCAUCUCAUACUCAUCAUCAAGUCGAGGCACUUCCUUGUCAAGCUCUGCAUCUACUUCUACAACAGCUGUAGAAGGGGCAGCAGAAGUGGCAACAGACAUGUUGUGGCUUUCAGAACCACUAGGUUUACUUGGUCUCGACCUACAAGGAAUGCCGGGGCGCUCCCUAUUAUCACAGACAUAUGAUGCAUGAACACUCUCCCACUUGUCUCGUUCUUUGCGUGGCUGAAGCACCUCGAUACAGAUUUUACCGAAACGUCUGUCAACAUUCAAACUCAAUAGCAAUUCCAGAUGCUCAUCGCAAGUUAGUGGGAGAAAUCUUUGCUCAAUACUGUUGAAAUAUUUCAGUUCAACAACAUCGACAGAGCUCCAGUUAUACACAGUACAGAGUGCAUCACGAAAAUCUUUGAACGAAAUGCUGGUUUCUACCACCUUCGGGUAGAAAAACCUAGAGAUUAUAAGCAGUUUAGUACCACACAGAACGCUAGUUUCCAUUCUAACUGCUAGCAGAAAAGCAAGCACAAGAUCAAUCCUAUUCGAUCGAAAUGAAGGGUGAAAAAUGAAACGACCCAAAUUGGUAUGAUUCAAGCGAGUAGUGGUCAAAUUAAUACUGCCUAAUUGACGAGUUUUCUCAUAAAUUCGAGGGGAAAUGAUGCUUACCCAGAUGGAAUCCAUGAAUUAUUCGCCUCCGAUUUGACCCAAUCAUCUCCACGAUCGAUAGGCCGAAGGAUGUCUAGCCACGACAUCGCUUCUUAAUCCCAGAUUGGGGGGAGGGGGUUGAUGUGGCGGAGGCGCGGCAUCGCCGACAGACGUAAUAGGGUUAGAGGGUGGAGGGCACGACGGCAGCGGCGACGGCGACGACGACGGAGGAGGCGCCACGGGAGUGGCUCGAUCUGUUUCUGACAAGCUGCUUCGACUUGUCUCCUUGCUGCCCCACUCGUCAGGAUGUAACGGUCAAAGGAGGACCCGACCCUAGCCCCACUCGUCAGCAGUUAAUGGUCAAGCCGUUGACCCGACGACAAACGCCCAGUUUGACCAUUUGUGAGAGUUUCAGACAAGUGUGUGGGGAAAAGUGAGGAAAAGUUUAGAGCGUGGGGACAACUCAGCACAAGUAAAGAACCAGGGGCACUAUCAUAAAAAAACCUAUAUAUUAAUCAACUCAUACUGUUAAUGGCAAUAGUGUAAGUCAAUUCAAUGAUGGUAGAGUCUACAAUUAUCCACCCAUCUUCCCAUUGGAACAACAACACAUCUUCCCCGGAAACUACAAUGGUAUGUUACUAGUGGCCGAUUAUAGGUUUAAAAUAAAGUAAUACAAGAACGUUAAUGUUUGAAUGCACUCUCAAGAUCGACUUGACUUUUGUGUAAUGCAUAUAUGUUACAAAUGGCCUGCGCACAUGUGUACACACAAUAGUUUCGCUUAUAUUUAUGUGUGGACACUUAUUUGUGAGCAAUGCAUAUUUGUUAGAAAAGUGGCCCGCACACAUGCACAUGCAAUGUCUUAGAACGUCUAUGAUUUUAUAAUUUAGUUUAAUUACUUAACUAUUAGAAUGAAUAUAGCCAAACACUAUAUGUCUCCAUGAAACUCCUUAUGAUUUUCUAAUUACUUUACUACUAUGGCCCUCUUGUGUAUCUUUGUUCUCAUAGGCCCAAGGGAAAAAUAUGUUAUUUUUACAAACUAGAGGGUGUUUAAAGUAUAUGAACUAUUUCACUUAAACACUUUGAACUUACAGGGUUUUCUCUAGUCCGACGAGUUACUUUUUAUCCCCACAAUUUACUUGCAAUAAAGAGGAACGAAAAGUUGAAAUUUCUACUAAUUGCCAUAAAGUAUGAACAACGAUAUUGAACACUACAAGAAAUAUGUCAACUAGUGACCUUCUGUCAGUGACCCUGGAAGAAUUGGUCAUAGAUCUAUGACCAUUUCAGACCAAUUGGUCAAAAGCUGUUCUGGGGGCUCCAAGCCCUAAACUAUAACGACCAUUUUGGUCAGAAAGGUCGUAAUUUCCUUACACGAAAUGGUCAUAAAGCAGAUAGCACUGGUCCGCUGCCUUAUUUCUAGCUGAUCACGACCAAUAUAGAUGGUCAUAACCUUGUAAAUUGUGGUGGGUUGCUAUGACUAGGCGCCACCUCAUCAGUUUUGCCUAUGUGUCAUGUCCAUGUGACAUUUUUUGCCCCAGGUUGUGAAGCAACCUAUAUUUCUGUCAUUCCCGAAAUUCCCAAAAAAAUCUCAUAAAUUCUUUGGGUCAUAUCUUCGUCAAAUAUGUAAAAAACUUCCUUUCCUAGUUCAAAAAUAAUUCAAUAAUAUUCAUUUUCCUAUUCUGUUCAGAACAACACUUUGUGAAGGAAGUACCACUUUGGCAUGUCCAAAUAGUAUCCAUUUUCUACAGUGCUUUCCUAUGCCCAAAUAACCAUCCUCCACCAAAUGCCAGCUCAAUCCAUUCAUUAUUUUGAGCCCAGCUUCAACAUUCGUAUUUAUGUCUAGUGUGGUACUUUGCAAAGCAAGUACCACCUAGGCUCCUCCUUUUGAGCUGAAAAUUUGUGAAGACGGUCUUCUUAGUAACUGAUCAUCCUCAGCCAAAACUCACGCCCAUUAGCGAUGUACAUUUCCCGUACCGCUAAUCAAACACUUGGCUGCUUCAUGUUUGAGCAUCGAUCGGUCUCCUCGUGAGAAUCUUAUGUUGUAAUUUUCUUCCUAGCACCUACCUGGGGAGUGCCCAACCCACUAGACAUGCCUAGGCCGCCCAGAACACAUGGCAACGCCACGGUCAUGCGGUGACCACGCGGCGGGCAUGCGAGUUUACGCGCUCUAGAGUUGGGGCCCUCGACCACCGCCCAAACCUCGACGUAUCGCCACCAAACCAUGUAUUUAUGAUUAAAUAGGUACUUAUGUAACUAGAAAUGACUUUUGGAAAAAAUAAAUAGCAAACUAUGAGGCAGCUGCAGUUCAAAUUUGACCCGCUUCCAACUGAAUCGGCGGAAAUUUGUCUUUUUCACGAGAGGCGGAUCAAAACUUUUUACACCCAACCAUUUUGUCAAUUGUGCAUUAAAUAUGUCCUAGUAUUUUAUGAAAUUGAUUUGGUCCAAUUUUGCAACAAUUAUUUGGGAGGUCCUUCACAAAAAAACCUCCUUUUGGGCACUCGAAAAAUGGAAAAUGGUUUUUUCGUCCAAAGAAAAUGAAAACUUCCUUAGGCAACAUUGUUUGCCAUUCCAAUAUGCACCCUUUUGCACAAUAUGAGAUCAUUUGAACAAACUAUGCCAUGAAUGUGGCCAUAAGAUUGAUCAUUUGGCUUGAAAGCCAUUGAUCUCCACACGCGAUAGCUCGUUUCUGAGAACACUUUUUCAAAAUAAUUUCCGUAUUACAAGUUUGUUAUUUUUCCUCGGAACUUGGCCACAUAUAAUGACACAAUGCGAAGGUUUCCCAAUAUUUUGAAUUUUUUUGAAUUUUUUAUGCGUGUUUCAAAAUGCGGUCAAAACGGCGGGAAUGACCGUUCCUAGCUAGUGGUUGAAUCUUGGAAUUUUUUUUGGUGUUUCUCCGAUUAAAUAGAUACUUAUGUACCUAGAAAUGAUUUUUGGAAAAAAUAAAUAGCAAACUACAAGGCAGCUACAGUUCAAAUUUGACCCGCUUCCAGCUGAAUCGGCGGAAAUUGGUCUUUUUCACGAGAGGUGGAUACACCCAACCAUUUGGUCAAUUGUGCAUUAAAUAUGGCCUAGUAUUUUAGAAAAAUGAUUUGGUCCAAUUUUGCAACAAUUAUUUGGGAGGUCCUUCACAAAAAACCUCCUUUUGGGCACUCGAAAAAUGGAAAAUGGUUUUUUUGUCCAAAGAAAAUGAAAACUUCCUUAGGCAACAUUGUUUGCCAUUCCAAUAUGCACCCUUGUGCACAAUAUGAGAUCAUUUGAACAAACUAUGCCAUGAAUGUGGCCAUAAGAUUGAUCAUUUGGCUUGAAAGCCAUUGAUCUCCACACGCGAUAGCUCGUUUCUGAGAACACCUUUUUAAAAUAAUUGCCGUAUUACAAGUUUAUUAUUUUUCCUGGGAACUUGGCCACAUAUAAUGACACAAUGCGAAGGUUUCCUAAUUUUUUGUUUUUUUUGAAUUUUUUAUGCCCAUUUCGAAAUGCGGUCAAAACGGUGGGCUUGACCGUUCCUAGCUAGUGGUUGAAUCUUGGAUAUUUUUGUGUUUCUCUGAUUAAAUAGAUACUUAUGUACCUAGAAAUGAUUUUUGGAAAAAAUAAAGAGCAAACUAUGAGGCAGCUAUAGUUCAAAUUUGACCCGCUUCCUACUGAAUCGGAGGGAAUUUGUCUUUUUCACCAGAGGUGGAUCAAGGAUUUUGACACCCAACCAUUUGGUCAAUUAUACAUGAAAUGUGACCUAAUAAUUUAGAAAAUUGAUUUGGUCCAAUUUUGCAACAAAUAUAUAGUAGGUCCUUCAUAAAAAAAGCUCACUUUGGGCACUCAGAAAAUGGAAAAUUAUUAUUUGUGCAAGGAACAUGAAAGCCCCCCAAACCAACAUUGUUUUUCAUCCCAAGAUACACACAUGUGCACAAUAUUGACUCAUUUUAACAAAGUAUAAAAGGGUGCCAUGUUAAAUGUUUAUCCGGAAUAGGAGGUUAAAAAAACAAUACUACAUAAGCUUCAUUCUGAUUGGUGCAAUCAGUCAUGGCAUGGAUUGAUGACAUGGCAAACAUCUGUCCAUCCAUACAUCAUCCAUCCGUCCGUCGAUCCAUCCAACCAACCGCAGCAAACCCCCUCCUCUCUCUCUCUCUCUCUCUCUUGCNNNNNNNNNNNNNNNNNNNNNNNNNNNNNNNNNNNNNNNNNNNNNNNNNNNNNNNNNNNNNNNNNNNNNNNNNNNNNNNNNNNNNNNNNNNNNNNNNNNNNNNNNNNNNNNNNNNNNNNNNNNNNNNNNNNNNNNNNNNNNNNNNNNNNNNNNNNNNNNNNNNNNNNNNNNNNNNNNNNNNNNNNNNNNNNNNNNNNNNNNNNNNNNNNNNNNNNNNNNNNNNNNNNNNNNNNNNNNNNNNNNNNNNNNNNNNNNNNNNNNNNNNNNNNNNNNNNNNNNNNNNNNNNNNNNNNNNNNNNNNCUCUCUCUCUCUCUCUCUCUCUCUCUCUCUCACCGAACCCUAGCGCUCCACCCCACACUGCCUGCCGCCACCUCCGGCGACCUCAGGUGGGAAUCGACGACCGGCGAGAUCCAUGCGCGCGCGGCGAGAUCCAUCUCUCUCUCACACGAGAGGGAAAAUCCCCACGACUCCUCCUCCUCCUCCUCUCUGGAUCGAUCCCCUCCAACCUACCUCUUACCCCUCUCUGGAUCGAUCCCCUCCAACCCAGCCGCCGCCGCCGCCGCAGACCUCCCCCAACCCCGGCCUCCUCCACCGCCGGCGACCCCUUCUCUUCCUCCCCCAACUCAGCCACCUCCAGCAGCAGAUCCAUGCAGGACAGAUCUGAGCUCCACUACCUCCGUUGCUCCCUUUCCCCCCGACCAGAUCUUCCUCUUGCGUUCUGGCACCUUGCCGGCGUGGCUCCGGCAUUGCUCCGGUGACUUAGGUGAGUCCCUCCAUUUGUGCUCGUCACAUAUCUCCCUCCCUCUCUUCCUCACCUCAUCUUGUCUCCCUUGCAGAUCCAACACGCCAUCGUUGCUCGAGCACCGGGACGCCAUCGACGGGAAGUCUUCCUCCUCACCUCAUCUUGUCUCCCUCACAUGAACGAUGCAGCUUCACCACUACCCUGACGCCAUCAAGGUCAGACCCCAAUCAUCUCCUCUCCUUUUCAUUUUCUUCUUCCCCUUACCUUCCAUUCCCCUCCCGAUGUGCAGGAGCAGCUGCACGCCUGCAAGGCUGCAACAUCACCAACUCGACUUGGAUGCAGGGAGAGGAGACGCCCAACCAUGGGCAGCUCUACGUCGGCAUCUGCCUUUGUAGCUUUGCCUAGGGUUAGCUGAAUGCUCAAGACAUGGGUAGUUCUGGGAGAUGGUGAUUAGGGACUGUUUUACAACACAUCAUCCUCUGUUUUUACACAUAGUUGUAGAAGAAAAUACUUUUACUUAUUGCAAGUCACGACUGUCAUGCGUAUGUUAUGAAUUCAGAAACUAUAACAUGUUUUUUUUGCCAUGGUGAAGGAGUAAACUGAACAAUUAAGUUGCUAGUUCAGUAUGUGAGUUGCAUCAUACUGUACAACACAUCAUCCUCUGUUUUUUGAAUUUACUGUUCAUAGAGGGUGUAGGGCACCCGGGAGCUAAAAAACCACUCUCAUAAGACAUGCCAAGGUUGGACGCACGUAGAUGCCCUCAAGUCUAGAAAGACACUGACUGAUGACCCCACUAUGGCAAGUAGAUGGUCUCCUACGCCUUUUUAGUCAAGUGAUUUCUAUUUUCAUGUCCCUCAUCGCUUAGUCCUCCUCAGUUUUGCCCAGGCUUUUUCGCAAUCCUCACUUUUCCCCUCCACCGCUCGGUCCACCCUCACAAAAGCCCAAACGGGAGUUUGUCGUCGGGUCAAAGUCUUUGAUCAUUACUGGGUGUGGUUACUGAUGCAUGGGACACCCCUGUCAGUGGUUGCCCGCUCGUAGAUGGUGGGAGGAUCACUACUGGGAAAAGCCCUAUAGGUGAACUAUAAAUAGUGGCGGGCAGGACAUGUCACCCGUCACUGCUACUUUUCCAAAAGUGCAUUGACGGGUACCUGGACUAGCCCGUCACAGUUACGGGCAUGCCUAUGGCGGGCGCUGGCCAGCAACCGCCACAGCUAUCCCCUUCCAAAUAUGCCCGCUGGCUGGAAACUGUAGUUGCGAGCGCUGACCUAGUACCUAGCACUGGCUUGUGGGUAAUCUGUGGCAGGCGUUGCUAGGCGCCCGCUACAACCAUAUUUUGUCAAGCGCACCAAAUAAAUCAAAAUUUGGAAAUGUUUGUUGUACAGGUGUCUGUGCUUGCCCACCAUUGCUCUUGACGGUCAGUUCUCCUUCCACGCCUGCCCAACAACCAUCCACAAAACUUUCAUUUCCAUCGUUUCAUCUUUCUCUCUACCAUUUCCGCUCCCUCGUUCCCUUCCUCGUUGUCUUGCGCCUCGACCGCCACCCUCGUCCCUCCAACCAGCCGGCGACGCCUUCCACGCGUCCGACAUCGUGAGCGAUGCCGGAUCUGCUCGCCUUUGUGUCGUCCACCUCGAUCUCCACCGCGCUGUUCUCUGUCUCGACUGCUUGCAACCCCCAUCCUCCGCCUAACCGCCACCACCAUCCUUCCCCUCGACCACCGCCCUCGACCGCGGCCAGAAAAGCGACCAACGGUAUACUACAUCUCCGUGACUAAAUUACGCUUUAGGGUUCAGAAUUUGCAUCUUAUUAAUUUGUAGAUCAACUAGUUGUACAUUAGAUAAGAGAGCGAGCAGCACGCCGGCAGGAGUAGUACUAAAUAAUUGAAAUAGCUCUUUUUCAUAUCGGUAGGUGUCUGAAUAUUUGGAACAUUGCUAAAUAUGACAAGCAUCGAUUGUGUUUAAAUUUUCUCACAUAUGAGAAGUGCAUGGGCUUAUAGUUAUUCACAAGGAUUUGAAAAGGAGUGACAAAGUCUUUACGUAAUGUUGAUUCAUUUUCGUUUCGCCAAGUUUCUGUCAUUCCAUACGUCAACUUUGUAAGCAAAGUUCAUGCCGAAUUUCAUUUGCUAUGACAAUAUUGUUUACUUUGCUUACAUAUGACAAGUGCAUGGGUUUGGCAUCAACAUUGCUAAAUAUGACAAGUGGCAAUGAUGUUUGAAUUUCUUACAUAUGAGAAGUGCAUGGGUUUCAUGUUAUUCACAAGGAUUUGAAAAAGAGUGACAAUGUUUUUGCGAAACGUUGAUUCAUUUCCAUUUCGCCACAUUUCUGUCACUCCAUACGUCAACUUUGUAAGGAAAGUUCAUGUCGAAUUUCAUUUGCUAUGACAAUAUUUUGUAAUUUGCUUACAUAUGACAAGCACAUGGGUUUAGCAUCAACAUUGCUAAAUAUGAAAAGUGGCAAUGAUGUUUGAAUUUCUUAAAUAUGAGAAGUGCAUGGGCUUCAAGUUAUUCACAAGUAUUUGAAAAAGAGUGACAAAGUUUUUGCGGAACGUUGAUUCAUUUCUGUUUGGCCAGAUUUAUGUCACUCCAUACGUCAACUUUGUAAGCAAAGUUCAUGCCGAAUUUCAUUUGCUAUCACAAUAUUGUUUAGCUUUCUAAGCAAAGUCAUGCGGAAUUUAGAUAUGACAAGUGCAUGGGUUUUGAAAAUGACGGCCAAUGUUUUGAUGAAACAUUGAUUAACUUCCGUUUCAUCAAACUUCUGGUAGUCAAAAUAUGUUCAAUAUUCAGCAAAGGUCAUGCCAAAUUUUCUCUAACCCUUCUUAGUUACUUCCUCCUCUCAAAAUUACUAUUAAUAAGUUUUUUAUAAUGAUUAUUACGGAUCAUGAGGUGUAAGAUCAGCCAUAUCUACAAAUGUCCAUGUAUGGACAGUGUGGAUAUUGCAGUAGAUUUCAGACUCUUCUUGACGAACGGAUUUCAACUUAAUAUUGUAUGAACUUACAAUGUCAGUCUCUUAGAGUUGUUUUUGCAACCUAAUAUUGUUGUAAAAUCCUUUCCUUGAGCUGCGGUUGAUGUGGUGGUCUGCUAUUGUGGAUGAUGCGUGCAGGGGCUGCUGGAGAACACGGAGAAGGACAGGGUCCGGAGGCUGAUAGGUUCAAGCCUCCCGUGGAGCCAUGAUUUUCCCAGUUGAUGGAUCUUUCCUGUGCACGCUGGCAUCCAGGUCGGCAACGCGUGCUGGGAACUUUACUGCCUCGAGCACGGCAUCCAGGUUCGUCAUACCCCAUCUCCCGCCUCUCGCCCCUUCUCAUGUCGACUCGUAUGCGGUUUCUCGGAUUUGUUGAUUGGUUGGAGAGGGUUUCCCGUCGUGGAUCUUCUCUGGUUUGGAAUAUUUAGGCUGUAAUUGAUGCGCGAUUUGAGCUGUGAUGGGAUUACUCGAUUACCUUUCCGUGUAGGUCUAGUUGUUUUCACGUGAGGAUGCGGCAAUUAGUGUUCGAUCCGCGCGACCCUUCUGAAUUGCUCAGGAACAUGAACUGUUCGUAGUCCCUAAUUUAAGCCUCCGACCUGUGAUGUUUAGUCAUUUCGUUUUGUAUUUUAGAUCUGAUAUGCAAUUGGAUUCCUAGGAUCGUAUUUUUCAGGAGAAAUGAAUACACUUCUGCACUAGUUUAGUUGUCACUUUUGUGUGAAAUAUCAGAUCUACUUAGGCCAUUAUCAUGCUUUCCACGGUCAGUUUUGAUGUGUUCUGAAAUUAUGAUCUGCAUCCAACUAAACACCUCAUUGUUCCCUGCUGUAGCUUGAUGGCCAGACGAACGGUGAGAAGACCAUCCGGUGAUUCGCUGCUUGCAAACAACAGCUAGUAAAUCGGUCACCGUGGGGGCGGGGACAUGAGAUUCAGAGAAGAGAUGCUGCUGCCUGCCUAUACUAGUUCACAUGUGUCCAGCCGCCUAGAUCUACCAUACUCACCUCGUUUCACUGUGCUACAAGUAGUUCCUAGGCCAUUAGCUCCUGCUUGCUUUUUUGCUGCACAAUGCUUAUUUUGCUGCUAGUGUCCAUUUAGCAGUUUUUUUACUAUGUUUUGGCCUAGUUUUGUUCACAUGUAUAAUAAGCAUCCUGAAUGCUCAUUUAGCAGUGUAUUAAUAACACUGCUAGUUUUGUUCACGUGUAUUCAGAUUAAUACACUGUGUUGUUAAACUGCACAAUGCUCAUCCCGUUGGCUACUUGUCGAUGUUCUCCGCAUAACUAUAGGCUGCCAUGUCUUUCCACUUUCCUGUUCACUUUCAGUAAUGCUAACUUGACAGUAACCCUAUAGUUUGUUAAUUGGCUGUUGCAACCUAGCAGCGGCGCUUCCAUUUUAACGCAUGUACUAGUGUGCUAAAACUUGUAAAAGACACAAAUCUUGAGCUUUCUUUAUCGGCUAGUUGCUGCUGCUCCUUGUGUACAAUGAUUGAUGUUGCUCUAGUUAGUGUUGUAGAGGAAGAAAGAGGAUGUAUUUAUAUUACUUGCUUCUGCUGCUUAUAUAUAGACAUGUAUGUAUGUUUACUUCAUUUCUUCCUUGUCUCUCUGAUCCCCUCCUAAUGAAUUUGUUUGUUUGAUUUGGAUUAGCAGGCUCGUCCCUGGACCAGAUGUUCAAGUACAGCCCCAUCCACCGCAUCGACCUGGAGUCAGGUAUGUACUCGUCUUGUUGAACAAAUCGGACAGAUGCUUCAUGGCCUAAUGCUUGAUGCUAAGCGUUAAUACAUGGAUCUGUAGCGGUCCAAAUGAAGAGCGUGAUUUGAUUUGUUUGGGUUUGAAUUGAUCGUGUGCGUGUGUGUGUGUCUACAGGGGAGCAUGCUUAAGUUACUACUGUACUGUUCUUUUAUGUCCUGCUACAGUUUGACACUAUUAACUAGGCUUGCUGGACAUGUCAUGGUACAAGCCUUUGUCUUUUCUAGCAUCAACAAAUGUUUAUCUACUGUAAAGUACUAUUAAUUAGGAUACAACAGUAACUAUAACAGCAGUAACUGUUUGGAGAAAUGACUCCAAACAGAGUUGCAUAAUUACCAAUGAUACAUUUUUUUCUAAUUUUUGCAUGAGAGCAAACUGGUGUAGCUAGCUGGACUAUGCAGCCAUGAAUCAGGAAGUAGCAUAUUCAGAUUUGCUAAUAGAAAAAAAUGUAUUAAAAACUUUAAAUUUGUCUGUUAGAGAUAGCAGUAUCGAUUGUACCUGUUAAACAAGCAUCAAUUCUUCCUGGAAUGUUUGUCUAUCAACUAGUAUGAUGGCAUAUUAACAUCUUUCUCAGGGUGCUAGAGUCACAUACUCUUGGGUUCCAUGUUAAAACAAACUAAUGGCUAUAUAUCUUAGUAAUAUUAAACAAAGCUAUAUGGCUGUUGAUGAUAUAUCUUAGUAAUUUUAGUUUUGGAUGUGUCCAAUGCAAACAUUACUAUCAACUGUCAAGUUGAUUCUAAAAUGUCUCAUGAACUUCAUUAUUCUGUUAUUUAUUGUUAAAUAUGCUGUUAGAUCUACUUCUAUUUUGUUCCUAAAUAUUUUGUUUUGUAACGUGCAGAUGCUGGGCUUUGAUGUUUCUUCGUGAGCAUUAGUACAAAGAAGUCGGAGGAAGAAUAGUUCUAGCUCAUUGGAGCUAGUUUUGAGAGUAAUGGAGUCCUUUAUGCUGCUCCUAUUUGUAUGUGUGUUAUAUGAUGUAGCAGAAUCUGGCUCAUGUGAUUGUACACUUGUGGAGCUUGUUAUUUGAUUGUAAACUUGAUGCUGAUCACAUUUGUAUGUGUGUUAUAUGAUGUAGCACUUUGAUGGUUGAUAACAUUUGAAGUAUUUCAUGUGUUCUGUGUGCCAAUUUAAAUACUAGGUAUUUAAAUUGAAGAAUAUUGCACCGACGGCUAGGACCUAGUACUAGAACCUGACAAUGGUGACCCACCUGACUAGUGAACCCACUCUAUAAAAAAGAAAAAAAAAUGAAAUUGUUGAGACAAAAAGGCCAUGGCCCAAAAAUAAAAAGACUACAACAUUGGGCUUGAUCCAUGAAGCUGACAAAAAAUUCAUAGGAAAAAAAUAUAAAUGGGCUGAAUUAAUGGGCUCGGCCCAUAUAAACACCGAAUUGGACCGGGCUGAUUCUUGUGCCACAUCAGCUUGCCACGCUGGAUGCCUAUGUGGUCUGGGGAGGCUGCUAGUGACCAAAAUUUUGGUCGAAGAACCAACGACCUUUUACAGAAGGUCGUUAAUUUCAGUUUACGACCGCCAGCUUUUGACCUUCUGUUUUUGGUCAAAAAAGGUCGCAAAUGAAAAGCAAUGACCUUUCAGCGGCCAAUAGUGAGGGUCACAAGUUGACAUAUUUCUUGUAGUGGAAUUUAGUAAAAGUAUAUCAAAACAAUUACACGUAAAUAUAACAAUUUUAAUGUUUGGAACGCAAAGGUAACCUUAACUAUAUGAUCAUGUUAUGUUGGAUAACUGAUAAUAUAUUUUGUUACAAAGAAUACUUGUAGUGUAAACACUUGAUAUGGAACUAAAAAAUAUUCUACCAGGGUAUAAUAAUGAUCAGUAGAUUCUGAUAAGUAACAGAUCCAAUGUAUAUCCAAAUUCUGCAUUCAUACGAUUAAGUGACAUCUUUUAGUAGAAGUAAAUUGAAUCUCCAUGUAAUAUAUAUUAACCCACUCAUAUUGUUAAUGGCAUUAUUGUAAGCCAAUUCAGUGAAGGCAGAGUCUACAAUUGUCCACCCUUCUUCCCAUUGGAACAACAACACAUCUUCCCCGGAAACUACAAUAGUAUGUUACUAGUGGCUGAUUAUAGGUUUAAGAUAAAGUAAUACAAGAAUGUUAACGCUUGCAUGCACUCUCAAGGUCGACUUGAAUUUUGUGUAAUGCAUAUAUGCUAGCAAAGUGGCCCGCGCACAUGUGUAAACACAAUAGUUUUGCUUAUAUUUAUGUGUUGUACACUAGUUUGUGAGCAAUGGAUAUAUGUUAGCAAAGUGGCCCGCACGCAUGCACAUGCAAUGUCUUAGAACUUCUAUGAUUUUAGAAUUUGAAAUUACUUUAAUUACUUAACUAUUAGAAUGAAGAUAUCCCAAUGCUAUAUGUCUCCAUGAAACUCCUUAUUUUAUUUUCUAAUUACUUGUCUAAUACGGCCCACUUCUAUAUCUUUGUUCUCAUAGGCCCAAGGGAAAAUAUGUUGUAGUAUAUGAACUAUUUCACUUAGACACUGUGAACUUACAGGGUAGUCCAACGUGUUUCUUUUUAUCCCCACAAUUUACUUGCCAUAAAGAGGAACGAAAAGUUGUAAUUUCUACUAAUUUCCAUAAAGUAUGAACAAAGAUAUUGAAUUUAGUAAAAGUAUAUAAAGACAAUUUAACAUAAAUAUAACAAUUAUAAUGUUUGGAACGUAAAGGUAACCCUAACUAUAUGAUGAUGUAAAGUUGGAUAACUAAUAAUAUGUUUAGUUACAAAGAGUACUUGUAGUGUAAACACUUGAUAUGGAACUAGCCAAUAUUCAACCAGGGUAUAAUGAUGGUCAGUAGAUUCAGAUAAGUAACAAAUCCAAUGUAUAUCCAAAUUGUGCAUUCAUAUGAUUAACUGACAUCUUUUGGUAGAAGCAAAUUGAAUCUCCAUGUAAUAUAUAUUAACCAACUCAUACUGUUAAUGGCAUUACUGUAAGCCAAUUCAGUGAAGGCAGAGUCUACAAUUGUCCACCCUUCUUCCCAUUGGAACAACAACACAUCUUCCCCCAAAACUACAAUAAUAUGUUACUAGUGGCUGAUUAUAGGUUUAAGAUAAAGUAAUACGAGAAUGUUAAUGUUUGCAUGCACUCUCAAGGUCGACUUGACUUUUGUGUAAUGCAUAUAUGUUAGCAAAGUGGCCCGCGCACAUGUGUUCACACAAUAGUUUCACUUAUAUUUAUGUGUUUGUACACUUGUUUGUGAGCAAUGGAUAUAUGUUAGCAAAGUGGCCCGCACACAUGCACAAGCAAUGUCUUAGAACAUCUAUGAUUUUAUAAUUUGAAAUUACCUUAAUUAUUUAACUAUUAGAAUGAAGAUAGCCCAACGCUAUAUGUCUGCAUGAAACUCCUUAUUUUAUUUUCUAAUUACUUGACUAAUAUGGCCCACUUAUGUAUGUGAUGGAAAAGACCCAACCAUAAGCUUAGCAACAGAUUGUAUCGCUUAGUUAUUUGCUAUAGCUUUCUUCAUGUCAAGUAUAUGUUCCUUAGACCAUGAGAUCAUGUCGCUCACGAACACCGGAGAAAUACCUUUUGUGCUAUCAAACAUCACUUCAUAACUGGGUGAUUAUAAAGGUGCUCUAAAGGUAUCUCUGAAGGUGGCUGGUUGGCACCGAGUAAUAAUUGAAUACCUUUUUUGCUGGUAGGGUAAUUACUGAAUAUACUGCGCGUUCUUUUUUUCUAUGUCUAAGACUGCGUGUUAUUCUUUGCUUCUACGUAGAGUCAGGUUCAACAAACUCCAAUCGCUUCAAAAGAACUCUUAUCUCUUUCUCUAAUCAGCUCCAUAACUCUAAUCAACCUCAGUUUGAGCUCUUGGUUCGGUAAAAAAAAGAGCUUUAAUGUGAAUUGCUACAAUUACGUCGGUGUUGCGACAUUUUUCUCUGGCGACUCUACUAAAAUUCACUUGACAAUCCUUCAAAUAUUAUCUGCCGUGACUUCGUAAAAAAUUCACUUGACGGAGGUAACCCUAACUAUAAGAUCUUGUAAAAUUGGAUUAGUGAUAAUAUGUUUUGUUACAAAGAGUACUUGUAGUGUAAACACUUUGAUAUGGAACUAACAAAUAUUCAACCAGGGUAUAAUAAUGAUCGGUAGAUUCUGAUAAGUAACAAAUCCAAUGUAUAUCCAAAUUCAAUAUUCAUACGAUUAACUGACAUCUUUUGGUAGAAGAAAAUUAAAUCGCCAUAUAAUAUAUACAUUAAUCAACUCAUACUGCUAAUGGCAUUAGUGUAAGCAUAUUCAAUGAAGGCAGAGUCUACAUUUGUCGACCCAUCUAACCAAUGGAACAAAAACACAUCUUCACCGGAAACUGCAAUGGUAUGUUACUAGUGGCUGAUUAUAGGUUUAAAAUAAAGUAAUACGAGAACUUUAACAUUUGCGUGCACUCUCAAUAUCGACUUGACUUUUGUGUAAUGCAUAUAUGUUAGCAAAGUGGCCCGCGCACAUGUGUACACACAAUAGUUUCACUUAUAUUUAUGUGUGGUACACUUGUUUGUAAGCAAUGCAUAUAUGUUAGCAAAGUGGCCCGCACACAUGCACAUGCAAUAUCUUAGAACAUCGAUGAUUUUAUAAUUUGAAAUUAUUUUAAUUAUUUAACUAUUAGAAUGAAGAUAGCCAAACGUUAUAUGUCUUCAUGAAACUCCUUAUUUGAUUUUCGAAUUACUUUACUACUGUGGCCCACUUGUGUAUCUUUGUUCUCAUAGGCCCAAGGGAAAAAUAUGUUAUUUUUACAAACUGGAGAGAGUUUAAAGUAUAUGAACUAUUUCACUUAAACACUGUGAACUUAGAGGGCUUUCUCUAGUCCAACGAGUUUAUUUUUUCCCCACAAUUUACUUGCCAUAAAAAGGAACGAAAAGUUGAAAUUUCUACUAAUUGCCAUAAAGUAUGAACAAAGAUAUUGAAUUCAGUAAAAUUCUAUCAAUAAACUUUCACAUAAAUAUAACAAUUAAAAUGUUUGGAACACAAAGGUAACCCUAACUAUAAGAUCAUGUAAAGUUGCAUAACUGAUAAUAUGUUUUGUUACAAAGAUUAUUUGUAGUGUAAACAAUUUGAUAUGGAACUAACAAAUAUUCAACCAGGGUAUAAAAAUGAUGAGUAUAUUCUGAUAAGUAACAAAUCCAUUGUAUAUCCAAAUUCAACGUUCGUACGAUUAAGUGACAUGUUUUGGUAGAAGCAAGUUAAAUCUCCAUGUAAUAUAUAUUAAUGAACUCAUACUGUUGGCAUUAGUGCAAUUAAGGCAGAGUCCACAAUUGUACACCUAUCUUCCCAUUAGAACAACAACACAUCUUUCCCGGAAACUUCAAUAGUAUAUUAAUCGUGGCUGAUUAUAUGUUUAAAACAAAUUAAUAUGAGAACAUUAAUGCUUGCACACACUCUAAAGAUCAACUCGACUUUUGUGCAAUGCUUAUAUGAUAGCAAAGUGGCCCGCACACAUGUGUACACAUAACCAUUUUGCUUACUUUCGUGUGUGGUUCAAUUGUUUGUAAGCAAUGGAUAUAUGUUAGCAAAGUGGCCUACCCACAUGCACAGGCAAUGUCUUAGAACGCCUAUUCUAUACCUACUAAUAAAGCAAGGUGCGUUUCGCCAAUUUUUUCAUCUGUUUGCCAUCGCAAUUUUUUUCCCUAUUCAAGGUGGUAUUAAAUUCUUAUGCUUUUGUCUGCUAGAAAAGAAUUUACAUAAGUGGGCCACACGCUGUGGCCCAGGGAAGCCAGCCCACUUGUUUUCUGACCACCCAGCUGGAAAAAUUCUAUUUUCCGGUUUGGGCGACAAAUAGUUGGAGUUUCGUACAGGACGGCCAACAAUGGGCUGGCCCAUUUUUCUUCUUUUCUGUGUUUUAGAUCUAUUAUCAUUCUCCUUUCCCUAUCUCUUUUUUCCCUUCCAAUUUUUUUUUCUAGAGUUAAAUUCGUAAUUUUUUUUAAAAUGUUCAAAAAAAAAAUCAAAUUUAGGAAAAUGUUCGGAGUUCCCAAAUUUUGUUGCUACUUUGAAACAUAUUCGGAACUUGCAAUAAGUUUCCCUUUUUCCAAAAAACUAUUGUUUUCAAAAUUGCUAAAGAUCUCAAAAAAGAAAAUGGCAUUUCAAAAAUUGCUCCAUAUUCGAAAAAUAUUCUUGUUUUAGUGAAAUUUUCAAAUAAAAAAAUAAAAUUAAUGUAUAAAAGAUACACAUUUUGUAAAAAUCUUAUGAGUUUUCAACACAUGUUCUCGUCUUAAAAAAAUAUUCACAAAUUCAAAUAAUGAACAUGUUUUUAUAAAAAAAGUUGGUUUUUUCAGAAAAAAUUUGUGAAUUUUAAAAGAUAUUCCCUUUCAUAUUUUGUUUGCGUUUUUUCGAGAGUGUACAUAAUUUUAAAAAAUUUGUUCAGGGUUUAGUUUUUUCAUCUUUCCUAGAAUACUCAGAAACUUCAUACCUUAAAAUCCCAUCGAUUGAAACGAUUGAACGGAAGAGUAGAUUGAAUAACUCAUGUGCCUUCUCCGGCGUACGAUUACGUAACAAAAUUCUUAAAUGCCCUCGAUCAAUGGAUGGAAAAAUAGCGGAUUGAUUUCUUCACACAUGGCGAAACCGAGAAGCUAAAUGUUCUUGUUUCGUGUGCACACAGUAUUUUGCUUCCACAUAUAAUUCUCACUUGUCUAAAAUACAUACUAUUUUAUCUCUCGUUGCAACGCACGGGCAUAUGUGCUAGUAUUUUAUAAUUUGAAAUUAGUUUAGUUAUAUAUCUGUUGGAAUGAAGAAAGCCCAAUGCUAUAUGUGUCUCCAUGGAACUCCUUAUUUGAUUUUUUAAUUACUUGAAUAAUAUGGCCCACUUGUGUAUCUUUGCUCUCAUGGGCCAAAGGAAAAAAUAUGUUCCUUUUACAAACAUGAGGGGGUUCAAAGUAUAUGAACUAUGUCAGUUAAACACUGCCAACUUACACGAUUUUCUCUAGUCCAACGAGGUUUUAUUUGCUCCCCACAAUUUACCUGCCAUAAAGAGGAACGACAGGUUGAAGCUCUACUAAUUGCCAUAAAGUAUGAACUAAAAUAUUGAAUUUACUAAAUGUAUAUCAACACAAUUUAACAUCAAUAUAACAACUAAAAUGUUUGGAACACAGAGGUAACCCUAACUACACGAUCAUGUAAAGUUGGACAAUUAAUAAUAAUUUUAUUAGAGAAUGUACUUGUAGUGUAAACACUUUGAUAUGGAACUAACAAAUAUUCAACCAUGGUAUAAUAAUGAUUAGGAGAUUCUGAUAAGUAGUAAAUCCAAUGUAUAUCCACAUUCAGCAUUCAUACGAUUAUCUGACAUCUUUUGGUAGAAUACAAUAAAAUCACCAUGUAAUAUAUGUUAAUCAACUCAUACUAUUAAUGGCAUUAGUGUAAGCCAAUUCAAUGAAGGCGGAGUCCACAGGUGUCCACCCAUCUUCCCAUUGGAACAACAACACAUCUUCCCUGGAAACUACAAUGAAAACUUACUAGUGGUUGAUUGUAUAUUUCAAAUAAAGUAAUACGAGAACGUUAACGCUUGCAUGCACUCUGAAUAUCAACUUGACUUUCGUGAAAUGCAUAUAUGUUAGCAAAGUGGCCCGCGCACAUGCGAACACACAAUCAUUUAGCUUACAUUUAUCUAUGGUACACUUGUUUGUGAUCAAUGCAUGUUAGCAAAGCGGCCCGCACACAUGCACAUACAAUGCCUUAGAACGUCUAUGAUUUUAUAAUUUGAAAUUAGUUUAAUUAUUUAACUAUUAGAAUGAAGAUAGCCCAACGCUAUGUGUGUGUCAAUGAAACUCCUUAUUUUAUUUUCUAAUUAUUUGACUAAUAUGGCCCAUUUGUGUAUCUUUGUUCUCGUAGGCCCAAGGGAAAACUACGUUAUUUUUUACAAAAUGGAGGGGUUUAAAUUUUAUGAACUAUGUCACUUAAAUGCUAUGACCUUAUGGGGUUUUCUCUAGUCCGACGAGGCUUUUUUGCUCCCCAUAGUUUACUUGCCGUAAAGAGGAACGAGAAGUUGAAGCUCUACUAGAUGCCAUAAAGUAUGAACUAAAAUAUUGAAUUUACUAAAAGUUUGUCAAGGCAUUUUAACAUAAAUAUAACAAUUAAAAUGUUUGGAACAGAGAGAUCAUGUAAAGUUGGAUAAUAAUAAUAAUAAUAAUUUUUAUUACAAAAAGUACGUGUAGUGUAAACACUUUGAUAUGGAACUAACAAAUAUUCAACUAGGGUAUAAUAAUGAUCAGUAGAUUCUGAUAAGUAAUAAAUCCAAUGUAUAUCUAAAUUCAGCAUUCAAACGAUUGUCUGUAUCUUUUGGUAGAAGCAGAUAAAAUCUCCAUGUAGUAUAUGUUAAUCAACUCAUACUGUUAAUGGCAUUAGUGUAAGGCAAUUAGAUGAAGGCAGAGUCCACAAUUGUCCACCCAUCUUCCUGUUGGAACAACAACACAUCUUCCCCGAAAACUACAACAGUAAGUUAAUAGUGGCUGACUUUAUUGGGAAUAUUACCUAGAUGCAAUCAUAAAUUGGUUAUUAUUAUAUUUCCCGUUCGUGAUAAAUGUUUAUUAUUCAUGCUAGAAUUGUAUUGGCCGGAAACUUAAAUACAAGUGUGAAUACAUAGACAACACCGUGUCCCUAGUGAGCCUCUACUAGACUAGCUCGUUGAUCAAAGAUGAUUAUGGUUUCCUAACCAUAGACAUGAGUUGUCAUUUGAUAACGGGAUCACAUCAUUAGGAGAAUGAUGUGAUGGAAAAGACCCAACCAUAAGCUUAGGAACAUAUCGUAUCGCUUAGUUAUUUGCUAUAGCUUUCUUCAUGUCAAGUAUAUGUUCCUUAGACCGUGAGAUCAUAUCACUCACGAACACCGGAGGAAUACCUUUAGUGCUAUCAAACAUCACUUCGUAACUGGGUGAUCAUAAAGGUGCUCUAAAGGUAUCUAUGAAGGUGGCUGGUUUGCAUCGAGUAAUAAUUGAAUACCUUUUUUGCGGGUAGGAUAAUUACUGAAUAUACUGCGCGUUUUUUCUGUGUCUAAUACUGCGUGUUAUUCUUUGCUUCUACGUAGAGUCAGGUUCAACAAACUCCAAUCGCCACCAAAGAACUCUUAUCUCUUUCUCUAAUCAGCUCCAUAACUCUAAUCAGCCUCAGUUUGAGCUCUUGGUUCGGUAAAAAAAGAGCUUUAAUGUGAACUGCUACAAGUACGUCGGUGUUGCCACAUUUUUCUCUGGCGACUCUACUAUUCACUUGAAAAUCCUUCAAAUAUUUUCUGCCGCGACUUCGUAAAAAAUUAUUCAAAAUCUUUGGUAUCUCAAAGCGGCUCAAGAUGGCAACGGGGAUGAAACCUGUCGGGUUUUGCCUGUCCAAACCCAUCCCCACGAGAAAAUUUCAAACCCAUCUCCAUCCCCGUCACUGUGCGCGGGUUUAGUUUUUUGCCCGUCCCCUAAACCCAUCGGGGUUUCUAAACCCACGGGGAAAUCAACAUAUUUAAGAAAACAUAGUAGCAAUAAAGAAUAGCAUUUCAGCAGCAAAAAGAGCAUAUUUUAGUAGCAUAACUUGAGAAAAUUUCAGCACAAUACAAUAGUACAUGGUUCGACAGUACAAGGAGCAUAUUUUAGCAGCAUAACUUGAGCAAAAAGAGCAAUAACAACAGCCACAAGGAGCAUUUUUCAUCACAAUACAAUACCCCAUUUCAGCAACAAAGAUAAGCAUAUUUCAGCAACAAGCAGGAGCAUAUUUUGCCGGGUAUUGUCGUGUUUCGGGUUCGGGGAGUACCGAAACGGGUGUAAACCCCCAAAACAUGUCAGGUUAUGUGCUCAGCAACAGCCCUGCAGGGAUGAAAAGACGCCCAUAUCUGUCCCCUAAUAGGGUAAAAGCCCGCGGAGACGCGGGUUUCGGGCCCCCGAUGCCAUCUUGAAACAUGGCACCAGAAAAUCAUUGCAACAUUUUACUCUGGUGACUCCAUCAAAAUCAUUUGAAAACCAUAUCAAUGUUCAAAUAUACACGUGCAACAAAUCCAAGUUUUGCUUCGGUACAACCCCCGCCCCCAAGAAGUUUACAGGAAUCAUAAAUUUACUUAAAGGGGUACUUUUGUACAUUCAGGAUCAACUAAUUCUACCCGCGAAAAAACUAACUCUAAUUCCUAUUGUUCCGAUGGAUCACACAAGAAAUAAGAAUAAUCUAAUUUUUUUGAUUGAACGGGUAACUUCUAAUCUCCACCUUUAUUCUGCUUCAAAAUCUUCAAAUUUUUUAANNNNNNNNNNNNNNNNNNNNNNNNNNNNNNNNNNNNNNNNNNNNNNNNNNNNNNNNNNNNNNNNNNNNNNNNNNNNNNNNNNNNNNNNNNNNNNNNNNNNNNNNNNNNNNNNNNNNNNNNNNNNNNNNNNNNNNNNNNNNNNNNNNNNNNNNNNNNNNNNNNNNNNNNNNNNNNNNNNNNNNNNNNNNNNNNNNNNNNNNNNNNNNNNNNNNNNNNNNNNNNNNNNNNNNNNNNNNNNNNNNNNAUACAACAAAUCUUAAUAAAGAAUAAAACAUGUCACAAUACAAGCAACUUAUCACAUCAACAAGGCUUUUUCAACCAAGAUUUUCCAAAAUAGACUAGUGUGCGGAUAUUUCGGUGAACCCAGAGAAACUUGAAUACCUUCAAAAAAUUGAUAUUUUUAAAUGUAUACAUCCUAGUAAUGCCACUAUUAUGACGUGGCAUAUCUUGGCCUGGUGGUAUGACGCAUAAGAGCAUCUCCAACCACAAUGAGCUAAUUCAAGUCCCCAUACAUCCGCGAACGUGCUUAUUCAGUGAUUGGGCGCGUCCAUUUUGAGCCUCCAUUUGUGUGUGCAUGCAAUAAGUCUCCUACAUCCUCCUCAAAUUGUCCGAUCAAAUGCAGAUGAUUGGUCGGGAUCAAAAGAGAGAGGGAAAAUAAAGAGAAAAAGUGGUCUGGGGUCGGCCGUAUCCUAUGUGGUGGGGCUGUCCGGACAUGCCCGGACAUCCCCAUAUGCUCCCCAUAUUCGUUAUGGAUAUGGUGAUUUGCGGACAGCCCGGGCAAAUGGAGNNNNNNNNNNNNNNNNNNNNNNNNNNNNNNNNNNNNNNNNNNNNNNNNNNNNNNNNNNNNNNNNNNNNNNNNNNNNNNNNNNNNNNNNNNNNNNNNNNNNNNNNNNNNNNNNNNNNNNNNNNNNNNNNNNNNNNNNNNNNNNNNNNNNNNNNNNNNNNNNNNNNNNNNNNNNNNNNNNNNNNUGUAUGUCGUGGAUUUGGAUGGUCUGGUUCUAGAUGCUCUAACCCUCCUCGCUACAGGUCUUGUGAGUCUGACCAAGUUCCAGCUUUUGCAAUCAACUACUUAGUGGUGACCACUUGCAUAUGAAUCAGUUGAUGACUAUCAUGGGUUAAAUAUUACAGAUUUUUAUGCAUUUUUUUGAAUUUAAAUUUUGGGCAAUUUUUUUUCAAAAGAUCCUAGAAUUUUAGGGAAAAAGUUUUUUUUGGCCCAACCCCAAAAACAGGAAUUCUGACUAAAAAAACCUUGCUCACAACAACACAAACAACAUCAAAGAAACAUAUUUUCAACCAUUUGUAGCAUGUGUACGUAAAAAACACCAACACAUUUGUGGCAUGUCAAAAAAUAGUGUGCAACCUAAAAAAUAUCGAUUCAAUGACCUCACGCUGCCAACUUUUUAUGCACCGGCCUUCGCCGAUUUGGUUCCGUGGAGUCACCAAAACAUGAUCUCACAUACAUGUGGAACAGAAGACAAGACCAACGCUACACAUAGGUUGGGUGAAUGUGAUGAAAAACAGUCAGCCUUCAUGCUGUUGAAUCUCCCUAAACUGAUGGUUUAAAGCAUCUAAUUGCAAAGUCGCUACUAGAAACUUUUAGUUUACUUAGACCGGAUUCUUUACCUAGGGAUAAUUGCCUUCGAGGGACAUAAAAGCACCAAAUAGUACAGUCUAGGAAGAUAUGAUCUUGUAGCUAAAAGUUUUGGGAAAUAAGACAUAAAAAAGGUGUGAUAGCUCCCGGGUGCCCCUACACCCUCUAUGCAACAUAAAAUAUUUGUUGGCCGGAAUAAGCCGCGGCGACGUGUCGGGCGCGUCCAGCGCGUGUAUGGGCGCGAGCUGGACGUGUCGGGCGCGUCGGGACCGCGGCGUAGGCGUGCGUGUGGUGCACGGGGUGCCCGUGUAGGUAGACAUCGUGCGUGUGAGUGUAGGCCAGGCCGUUGGCGAGUUUAGGGGGUGCGUUGAGUUGGUCCGCUGUGGGACUCGCCAUGCCCGGACGUGUGCGUGCAUGUCGGGAGGGCGCGGGCAGAGUGGAGCGGACCGGGCGCUCGACGUGGACAGAGUCGUGGGUGCGUGCCCUGGUCGACCCUGGGUAUAAGACCCCUGUGUGUGUGUGCGUUGUAACGGCGUGGCCGGGGCUGAGUUUGUGCUCAGGAAAGAAAAGAAGGCCGUUCGGGCGGCGGUGGCAUACGUGCGCCAGGAAAAUCCAUCGUCUCCGGUUCUUCUUCUUCCUCUGUUUCGUUCCAGCGAGUGCACCGUGAGGGAGAGAGAGAGAGCGGCUGCGCCAACAAUUGGUAUACAAAGCCACAAGGUUCGAGGGGCGGCCGUGGCGCGCGGCGGCGUCCGCGGUGUGCGCUGCGACCACGGCGGACAUGGAGGCCGCGGCGCGCGGAGAGCGCGUGGCGACUGCGACAGGCGACGAGCCUGCGGUGGUGCAGCGUGAUGCCGUGCGCGCGACGAGCAGCGGCGGUCGCGGAGGACCUGUGUGGUGGCGUAGAGNNNNNNNNNNNNNNNNNNNNNNNNNNNNNNNNNNNNNNNNNNNNNNNNNNNNNNNNNNNNNNNNNNNNNNNNNNNNNNNNNNNNNNNNNNNNNNNNNNNNNNNNNNNNNNNNNNNNNNNNNNNNNNNNNNNNNNNNNNNNNNNNNNNNNNNNNNNNNNNNNNNNNNNNNNNNNNNNNNNNNNNNNNNNNNNNNNNNNNNNNNNNNNNNNNNNNNNNNNNNNNNNNNNNNNNNNNNNNNNNNNNNNNNNNNNNNNNNNNNNNNNNNNNNNNNNNNNNNNNNNNNNNNNNNNNNNNNNNNNNNNNNNNNNNNNNNNNNNNNNNNNNNNNNNNNNNNNNNNNNNNNNNNNNNNNNNNNNNNNNNNNNNNNNNNNNNNNNNNNNNNNNNNNNNNNNNNNNNNNNNNNNNNNNNNNNNNNNNNNNNNNNNNNNNNNNNNNNNNNNNNNNNNNNNNNNNNNNNNNNNNNNNNNNNNNNNNNNNNNNNNNNNNNCGGCGCGACGGCCGUGGAGGCGCAGUGGCGCGAGGCACGGAGAUGCGGCACGGCGGCGCACGGAGCCGCGGGUUUCGGCAGCGGCAGCGAGUGGCGCUCGGCGGGGCGCAGCGCGGCGGUACGCGACAGCGGCCGGUGAGGUGGCCGCGUUGCACGGCAUCUGCGGCAGCUCGUGCUGGAAGCACACGGUGGCGUCGGGCGGCAGCAACCAUGGCGACGACGACGUCGGACCGGCACUCCGCUAGGCCGCGGCUUAGGGGGUGAAUGUUGGCCGGAAUAAGCCGCGGCGACGCGUCGGGCGCGUCCAGCACGUGUAUGGGUACGAGCUGGACGUGUCGGGCACGUCGGGACCGCGGCGUAGGCGUGCGCGUGUGCAUGCGUGUGGUGCACGGGGUGCCUGUGUAGGUAGACACCGUGCGUGUGAGUGCAGGCCAGGCCGUUGGCGAGCUUAGGGGGUGCGUUGAGUUGGUCCGCUGUGGGACUCGCCAUGCCCGGACGUGUGCGUGCAUGUCGGGAGGGCGCGGGCAGAGUGGAGCGGACCGGGCGCUCGACGUGGACAGGGUCGUGGGUGCGUGCCCUGGUCGACCCUGGGUAUAAGACCCCCUGUGUGUGUGCGUUGUAACGGCGUGGCCGGGGCUGAGUUUGUGCUCAGGAAAGAAAAGAAGGCCGUUCGGGCGGCGGUGGCAUACGUGCGCCAGGAAAAUCCAUCGUCUCCGGUUCUUCUUCUUCCUCUGUUUCGUUCCAGCGAGUGCACCGUGAGGGAGAGAGAGCGGCUGCGCCAACAAUAUUGUCAAACUGUAGGUUCUUACAAGUUUUUAUAACAAAAUAUCAUGUAAAGAAAGGUGUACACACGAGCUUCAGAUUUCAGUGCUAAAAGUGAUGAAAACUUCAACAACUAAAAUCUUUUUCUUGUGUAGAGCGCUUCGAAUGUUUGUUUGGCAUGAAAACCUGCAUGCAUCUACAAAGUUUGAUCAUAUUUGACGUUGUAAAGUUUCAUAUUUUUUUAGAAUUAGUUUUUAUUUUUUCGAAUUUACUAUUCAUACAGGGUGUAGCGGCACCCCGGAGCUAAAAAACCACUCUCAUAAGGCAUGCCUAUGGUUGGACGAACGUAGAUGCCCUCAAGUCUAGAAAGACAUAGACUGAUGACCCCAUUAUGGCCAAGUAGAUGGUCUCCUGCGCCUUUUAGUCAAGGGAUUUCUAUUUUCAUGCCCCUCUUUGCUUAUCUCCUUAGUUUUGCCCAGGUUUUUUUGGUAGUCCUUACUUUUCCCCUCCACCACUCGGCCCAUCCUUGCAAAAGCCUAAAUGGGGGUUUGCUGUUCAGUCAAAGUCUUUGAUCAUUACUCGGCGUUGUUACUGAUGCGUAGGAGACCUCUGUCAGCAGCUGCCCGCUGGUAGAUGGUGGGCGGAUCACUACCGGGGAAAGCCCUAUAGGUGAACUAUAAAAAGUGGCGGCUAGGACAUGUCACCUGCAACCGCUACUUUUCCAAAAGAGCAGUGACGAGUACCUAGACUUGCCAAUCACAAUUACGGGCAUGCCUGUGGCGGGCGCUGGCUAGCAACCGCCAUAGCUAGGCUCUUCCAAAUAUGCCCGCUAGCUGGAAACUGUAGUAGCUAGCACUGACCUAGUGCCCGCCACUUGCUUGUGUGUAAGCAGUGGCAGGCAUUGCUAGGCGCCCCCACAACUAAAUUUUGGCAAGCGUGCCAAAUAAAUCAAAAUUUGGAAAUGUUUGCUGUGUGGUUCUUUGUGCUUGCCCGCCACUGCUCUCGACGGACCGUUCCCCUUCCACGCCCGCCCAGCAACCAUACACAAAACUUUCAUUUCCAUCGUUUCGCCUUUCUCUCUGCCAUUUCCUCUCCCUUGUCCCCCUCCUCGUCGUCCUGUGGCUCGACCGCCACCACUGUCCCUCCGACCAGCCAACAGUGCCUUCCAUGUGUCAGACGCCAUGAGCGCCACCAGAUCUGCUCGCCUUUGUGUUGCCCGCCUCGAACACCACCACACCGUUCUGCGCCUUGAACGCGCGCUUCCCCGGUCCUCCGCCUCAACUGCCACCGCCGUCCUUUACCUCGACUGCCACCCUCGACCGUCGCCUCGACCGCCGCCGCCAUCCUGCGCCUCGACCGCCCUCAUGACCACGACCGGAAAAGCGGCCAACAGUAUACUACAUCUCCAUGACUAACUCUAGGUUUUAGAAUUUGCAUCUUAUUAAUUUGUAGAUUAACUAGUUGUACAUCAUAUAAGAGAGCGAGCAGCAUAUCGGCAGGGGCAGUACUAUAUAAUUGAAAUAGAUCUUUUUCGUAUCGGCAGGUAUCCAAAUAUUUGGAACAUUGCUAAAUAUGACAAGUGGCAAUGAUGUUUGGAUUUUCUUAUAUAUGAGAAGUGCAUGGGCUUCAUGUUAUUCACAGGGAUUUGAAGAAGAAUGACAAAGUUUUUGCAAAACGUUGAUUCAUUUCCGUUUCGCCAAAUUUUUGUCAUUCCAUACGUCAACUUUGUAAGCGAAGUUCAUGCCGAAUUUCAUUUGCUAUGACAAUAUUGUUUAAUUUGCUUACAUAUGACAAUUGCAUGGGUUUAGCACGAACAUUGCUAAAUAUGACAAGUGGCAAUGAUGUUUGAAUUUCCUACAUAUGAGAAGUGCAUGGGCUUCAUGUUAUUCACAAGGAUUUGAAAAAGAGUGACAAUGUUUUUGCCAAACGUUGAUUCAUUUCCGUUUCGCCAAAUUUCUGUCACUCCAUACAUAAACUUUGUAAGAAAAGUUCAUGCCGAUUAUCAUUGUCUAUGACAAUAUUGUUUAGCUUUGUAAGCAAAGUUCGUGCCGAAUUUACAAAUGACAAGUGCAUGGCUUUUUAAAAUGAGUGCCAAUGUUUUGAUGAAAAGUUGACUAACUUCUGUUUCAUCAAAUUUCUGGUAGUCAAAAUAUGUUCAAUAUUUAGCAAAGGUCAUGCCAAAUUAUCUCUAUCCCUUCUUAGUUACUUCCUCCUCUCAAAAUUACAAUUAAUAAGUGCUUCACAAUGAUUAUUAGGGAUCAUGAGGCGUAAGAUCUACCAUAUCUAAAAAUGUCCAUGUAUGGAUAGUUGAUACGUCCAUUUUGCAUCAUGUUUACCUAAUAUUAUUUAUAAUGUUUUUAUGUAUAAUAAUGCUUUUUGGAGUAAUUAUAAUGCCUUUUCUCUCAUAAUGUGCAAGGUUCACACUGAGAGGGAGAAUACCGAUAGCUGGAAUUCUAGACCAGAAAAAGCUACGCCAGGCCACCUAUUCUGCACAACUCCAAAUGAGCUGAAACUUCACAAAUAUUUUUUAUGGAAUAUAUAAGAAUUAUUGGAGCAAAUAACUACCAGAGGGACCCACCAGGUGGGCACAACCCACCUGGGUGCGCCAGGGAGCCCAUGUGCGCCCUGGUGCGUUGUGCCCUCCUCGGCCCACCUCCGGUGCCCCUCUUCUGGUAUAUAAGUCAUUUUGACCUAGAAAAAAAAUAAGGAGAGGACUUUUGGUAGGAAGCGCUGCUGUCUCGAGGCGAAACUUGGGCAGGAGCUCUUUUGCCCUCCGGGGGAGCGAUUCCGCCGUGGGGACUUCCCUCCCGGAGGGGGAAAUCAUUGUGAUCAUCAUCACCAACAACUCUCCCAUCUUGGGGAGGGUAAUCUCCAUCAGCAUCUUCAACAACACCAUCUCCUCUCAAACCCUAAUUCAUCUCUUGUGUUCAAUCUUUGUACCGGAACCUUAGAUUGGUGGUUGUGGGUGACUAGUAGUGUUGAUUACAUCUUAUUGUUGAUUACUAUAUGGUUUAUUUGGUGGAGGAUUAUAUGUUCAGAUCCAUUAUGCUAUUUAAUACCCCUCUGAUCUUGAGCAUGAUUAUCAUUUGUGAGUAGUUACUUUUGUUCCCGAGGUCACGGGAGAAAUCUUGUUGCAAGUAAUCAUGUGAACUUCAUAUGUGUUCGAUAUUUUGAUGGUAUGUAUGUUGUGAUUCCCUUAGUGGUGUCAUGUGAACGUCGACUACAUGGCACUUGACCUUAUUAGGGCCUAAGGGAAUGCAUUGUGGAUUAGUUAUUAGAUGAUGGGUUGCGAGAGUGACAGAAGUUUAAACCCUAGUUUAUGCGCUACUUCGUAAGGGACUGAUUUGGAUCCAAAAUUUUAAUGCUAUGGUUAGAUUUAUUCUUAAUACUUUUCUCGUAGUUGCAGAUGCUUGUGAGGGGGUUAAUCAUAAGUAGGAGGUUUGUUCAAGUAAGAACAACACCUAAGCACCUGUCCACCCAUAUAUCAAAUUAUCAAAGUAGCGAUCACGAAUCAAACUAUGUGAUGAUAUUGGAUCUUGGAAUUGGAAUCGAUUGAAAUUGGAAUUUCACCAAAAAGUUUAUCCUAUGCAUCUUGUUCAUCAUGAUCAGAAUUACAUAUAUAAUUUUUGGCCUCGUGAAGGAGAAAGUAUUGCUCUAGCUUGGGGGAGGCUUAAGUCAAUGUUAUAUUCAUGCCCCAAUCAUGAGCUCUCAAGAGAAAUUAUUAUUCAGAAUUUUAAUGCUCGGCUUUCUCGUGAUGAUCAAUCCAUGCUCGAUACUUCUUGUACUGGUUCCUUUAUGAAGAAGACUAUUGAAUUCAGGUGGUAUCUUUUAGGAAGAAUUAAACGCAACUCUAAAGAUUAGGAAUUCGACGAAGGUAAAGAGUCAAGUAUUAAGCUUAAGUAUGAUUGUGUUAAAUCUUUUAUGAAUGCCGAUGCUUUUCAAAAGUUUAGCACUAAAUAUGGACUUGACUCUGAGAUAGUAGCCUCCUUUUGUGAAUCAUUUGCUACUCAUGUUGAUCUCCCUAAGGAGAAGUGGUCUAAAUAUAACCCACCUAUUAAAGAAUAAAUUAAAGAACCGGUAAUAGCUAAAAAUGAAAGUAUUAUUUAUAAUGUUGACUCAGUUGUUCCUACUGCUUAUAUUGAAAAACCACCUUUCCCUGUUAGGAUAAAGGAACAUGCUAAAGUUUCAACUAUGGUCAAUAAAAGUUAUGUAAGAGCACCUAAACCUGCUGAACAAAUCAAGGUAGAACCUAGUGUUGCUUUUGUUAAAGAUCUCUUGAAAGGAAAUAUUGAUGGGCAUGUUAUUUAUUUCUGUGGUGAAGCUGCUAGAAUUGCCAAACCCGAUGAAAAAGAUAAACAUAGACCUAUUGUUGGCAUGCCUAUUGUCCCAGUCAAAAUAGUUGAUCACUGUUAUCAUGGUUUAUGUGAUUUGGGUGUUAGUGUGAGUGCUAUUCCUUUUACCUUAUAUCAAGAAAUUAUGAAUGAUAUAGCACCCGCUGAAAUAGAAGAUAUAGAUGUUACUAUUAAACUUGCUAAUAGAGACACCAUCACACCACUUGGGAUUGUUAGAGAUGUUGAAGUCUUGUGUCGGAAAAUAAAAUAUCCUACUGAUUUUCUUGUUCUUGGUUCCUGAUACGUCUCCAACGUAUCUAUAAUUUUUGAUUGUUCCAUGCUGUUUUAUUAUCAAUCUUGGAUGUUUUAUAAUAAUUUUAUAGUCACUUUGUAUCAUUUUUUGGUACUAACCUAUUGACAUAAUGCCAAAUGCCAGUUGUUGUUUUUCCAUAUUUUUUACAUCACAGGAAAUCAAUAUCAGACGGAGUCCAAAUUCCACGAAACUUUAUGGAGAUUUUUUAUGGACCAAAAGGAAGAUGUUGGGCCCUGGUUGCACCUAGGGGGAGUCCCGAGGAGGGGACAACCCACCAGGGUGCGCCAGGAGGCCCAGGCGCGCCCUGGUGGGUUGUGCCCACCUCGGGUGCCCCCCGGACCGCCUCUUUGCUCUAUAAAUACCCCAAAAAUACCAGAACCCUACGGGAGUCGACAAAAUAUUCAUCCAGCCGCCGCAGAGUCCAGAACCACCAGAUCCAAUCUAGACACCAUCUCCAUUGGUGCCUCUCCGAUGAUGCGUGAGUAGUUCUUUGUAGACCUUCGGGUCCGUAGUUAGUAGCUAGAUGGCUUCCUCUCUCUCUCUCUAAAUUCUCAAAACAAUUGUCUCUUGGAGAUCCAUAUGAUGUAACUCUUUUUGCGGUGUGUUUGUUGGGAUCUGAUGAACUUUGAGUUUAUGAUCAGUCAUAUAUUUUUAUAUCCAUGAAAGUUAUUUGAGUUUCUUUGAUCUCUUAUAUGCAUGAUCUCUUAUAGCCUCGUAUUUCUUCUCCGAUAUUUGGGUUUUGUUUGGACAACUUGAUCUAUUUAUUUUGCAAUGGGAAGAGGUAGUGGGUCCGAUCUUACGGUGCUUGAUCCCAGUGAAAGAAAGGGAAACGACAUGUAUGUAUCGUUGCUACUAAGAAUAAAACGAUGGGGUCUAUCUCUACAUAGAUAGAUCUUGUCUACAUCAUGUCAUCGUUCUUAUUGCAUUACUCCGUUUCUCCAUGAACUUAAUACACUAGAUGCAUGCUGGAUAGCGGUCGAUGUGGGGAGUAAUAGUAGUAGAUGCAGACAUGAGUCGGUCUACUAAUCUUGGAUGUGAUGCCUAUGUAAUGAUCAUUGCCUGGAUAUCGUCAUAAUUAUUUGAGGUUCUAUCAAUUACCCAACAGUAAUUUGUUUACCCAUCGUUUGCUAUCUUUCUUGAGAGAAGCCACUAGUGAAAUCUACGGCCCUCGGGUCUUCUUUCUCAUAUAUUUGCUUUGCGAUCUAUUUUAUUUGCUCUUUUUAUUCAGAUCUAUUAAACCAAAAAUACAAAAAUACUUUGCUGCACUUUAUUUUAUUUGUGAUCUGUUUAUUCAAUCUAUCACAAUUUUCUCCCGUCUCCUUGCCAAUUUCUGGCACCGUUACCCGAAAGGGAUUGACAACCCGUUUAACAUGUCGGGUUGCGAGUGGCUGUUAUUUGUGUGCAGGGGCUAUUUACGUUGUGUUGCUUGAUUCUCCUACUGGUUCGAUAACCUUGGUUUCAUAUCUGAGGGAAAUACCUACCGCCGCUGUGCUGCAUCAUCCCUUCCUCUUUGGGGAAAUACCGACCUAGCGUCAAGCGACAUCAAAAGGAAUUUUUGGCGCCGUUGCUGGGGAGGAUCUUCAACAUAUACCAGGUUCCUAAUCACAUAUCUCAUCUCCUCGCAAUUUACAUUAUUUGCCAUUUUCCUCUCGUUUUCCUCUCCCCCACUUCACAAAAAUUUGCCGUUUUAUUCACCUCUCCUUUUCGUCGAUCUCUUGUCUUUAGUCUCGAUGGCCAGCGUCACUACUCCUCCUUUGUCACCAGAUUUUGAAGUUCUUUACUUCAAGGAAAGACAAGGAGAAAAUCUGAAAGAUGCCAGGUAUAGGCUUAUGGAAUCGUAUCCUGUUUCCAAUCUAAAUGGGGAUGCUAAGGUUUUGCUUCGUCACUUUUACAUAUGAUUGGCUUUGCAUCAUAGACAACUUUUGGAUUUUGCCGCUAAAGGAAAUUUUAUUGAGCUUGAUGCUAAUGCUGCCUAUGAAAUUUUAGAGGGAAUUUUGGGAAUUCCUCCUCAAAAGAAGGGGUUUUCUUUUACCCCUGAGGGAGUUCAGAUGUUGGACAAACUUGGUGAUUUGCAUAAACAUAUGGUUGAAAUACAGAAAUAUAAUGAACCCCUCAAACACUUAAUGGUAGUAUUAAUCGUAUGAAUACCUUGAUUACUCUUUGCAACAAGCGUUUGGAUAUUUUGGAUCUAAAGAUGGUUUCUUUUCUUGAGAAUUUAGGGAAGCGUAAAGAGUCUCCCGGGUUCGAGAAAACCCUUACAAAAUUUACCAAAACUUCGGAACACAAAACUUAGAUCCUUGCUUUAUGCCUAGCUAAGGGCGUAAAACUAUAGCGCUUGUUGGGAGGCAACCCAAUGAAUAAAAUUUAUUUUUGCUUUUUGCUUUCUCUUCUUGUGUGUUUGCACAAUUAUGCUACUGGUAUGAUUGUUUUUGUGUGUGUUUUAAUUAGUGUUUGUGCCAAGUAAAGCCUAUAGGAUCUUCUUGGGUGAUAGUUGUUUGAUCUUGCUGAAAAACAGAAACUUAUGUAGUCACGAAAACAAUUGUUAAAAAUCACCAGAACGUGAUAAAAUGCCAACUCUUUUUGCAGAAGAUUAAUAUACAAAUUACCCUGGUCAUCCUAUUUUUCAGAAUCUUUGGAGUUACAGAAGUAUUCGAAAUAGUCAGAUUGCUACAGACUAUUUUGUUUUGACAGAUUCUGUUUUCUUUGUGUUGUGUGCUUAUUUUGAUGGCUCUAUGGUUUUCUUUGAUGAGUUUUUGCCAUAGAAAAGUUGGAAUACAGUAGAUAUAAUACAAAAAAUAAAAUGUUUGGCACAAAAUAUUUGAAUGAUGGGCAUGAUUGCAAUGUUGUUAGUAUGAAUUCUUUGAAUAUCCAAAAUGCUAAUGAUGAUUGCACAAGUCAUGAGAAAAAUGUUUCUUAUAAGCAUGUCAAUUUUUGUGGAGUGCAUAAAUUUUGUGAAGACGUGCUUUAUAGGGAAGAUAGAUUUUGCAAGAAGCAUAAACAUGAUAGAACCAAUUGUUUGCUCAAAGUGAUAGAUGAAUUUGCUACAAAAUUAUGUUUUCUUUGUCCUAUUACUUGUGAACUUUGCAAUAAGGUUGGUCAUCUAAAUUUCCAAUGCAUGUUUUUUCAUGAUCAAAUCGUGUCCAAAUAUUGCAAUAACUUGAUCACCCUAGAACUUUAUAAUGAACUUUGUUUAUUCUUGGGGAGUGAAGAAUUGACAUAUAAAAAUAGUUGGUUUGAAGUAUUCGUUCUCACGGACGACAUUGAAACUAAACUAAAGAAUAUCUAUAUGUUUUGCAUGGUAAAUUGCAACGAGAAUCCUUAUAUUGCCAACUAUAGAAAGAUUCAGACAUGGUGGCAACAAACCGAUCUAGCAAACGAGCAAACAAAAAGGCGAAUGGAAGAAGGGCGAAUAAAAGGGCAAAUCUUUUCGAAAAUCAUUUUAGAAGUGGGGGAGAGGAAAACGAGAGGCAAAUGGCGAAUAAUGUAAUGAAAGAGAUGAGAUUUUAUGAUGGGUACUUGGUAGGCUUGGCAUAGAUCUCCCCGGCAAUGGCACCAGAAAUUCUUCCUGCUACUUCUUGAGCUUGCGUUGGUUUCUCCAUUGAAGAGGAAAGGGUGAUGCAGCACAGUAGAGAUAAGUAUUUCCCUCAGUUAAGAACCAAGGUAUCAAUACAAUAGGAGAAACGCGCAAGUCCCCAAUUGAUGCACCUGCACGACCAAUCAAACACUUGCACCCAACGCGAUAAAGGGGUUGUCAAUCCCUUCAUGGUCACUUGCAAAGGUGAGAUCUGAUAGAGAUAGAUAGAACUAAACAAAAGAUAAAAUAUUUUUGGGUUUUUUGAUUUAUAGAUCUGAAACUAAAAGAUUGCAAAAUAGUAGACCUGAAACUAAUAUGAUGGAAAUUAGACCCGGGGGCCAUAGGUUUCACUAGAGGCUUCUCUCUUGAAGGCAAAUAAUACGGUGGGUGAACAAAUUACUGUCGAGCAAUUGAUAGAAAAGCGCAAAGUUAUGACAAUAUCCAAGGCAAUGAUUAUGCAUAUAGGCAUCACAUCCGUGUCAAGUAGAUCGACUCCUGCUUGCAUCUACUACUAUUACUGCACACAUCGACCGCUAUCCAGCAUGCAUCUAUAGUAUUAAGUUUAUAAAGAAGAGAGUAACGCCUUAAGUAAGAUGACAUGAUGUAGAGAAAUAAACUCAAGCAAUUUGAUGAAACCCCUAUCUUUUUAUCCAUGAUGUCAACAAUUCAAUAUGUGUCUCGCUACCCCUACUUUGUCACUGGGUGAAAUCACGCAAGAUUGAACCUAAAGCUAAGCACCUCUCCCAUUGCAAGAAAAACCAAUCUAGUUGACCAAACCAAACCAAUAAUUCAAAGAGAAAUACAAAGAUAUCAAAUCAUGCAUAUAAGAAUUCAGAGAAGAUUCAAAUAAUAUUCAUAGAUAAGUUGAUCAUAAAUCCACAAUUCAUCGGAUCUCGACAAACACACCGCAAAACAAGAUUACAUCAGAUAUAUCUCCAAGAACAUCGAGGAGAACAUGGUAUUGAAAAUCAAAGAGAGAGAAGAAGCCAUCUAGCUACUAGCUAUGGACCCGUAGGUGUGUGGUAAACUACUCACGCUUCAUCGGAAGGGCAAUAGAGUUGACGUAGAUGCCCUCUGUGACCGAAUCCCCCUCCGGCAGGAUGCCGGAAAAGGCCCCAAGAUGGGAUCUCACGGGAACAGAAGGUUGCGGCAGUGGAAAAGUGUUUUCGUGGCUCCCCCUGACGGUUUUGGAAUAUAUGUGAAUAUAUAGGACGAAGGGCUAGGUCAGAGGAGUCCCGAGGGGGCCACAAGGUAGGGGUGCGCCCUCCGCCCUUGCCGCCGCCUCGUGGCUCUUCUGGCUUGGACUCCAAGUCCCCUGGGUGUCUUUUGGUCGAAGAAAAAUCAUCAUGAAGUUUUAUUCCAUUUGGACUCCGUUUGGUAUUCCUUUUCUGCGAAGCUCAAAAACAAGGAAAAAACAUUAACUGGCACUUGGCUCUCGGUUAAUAACUUAGUCCCAAAAAUAAUAUAAAAUAGCAUAUUAAUGCAUAUAAAACAUCCAAAACAGAUAAUAUAAUAGCAUGGAACAAUAAAAAAUUAUAGAUACGUUGAAGACGUAUCAAGCCCCUAAACCUUUUAGUGUCGGUUGGUGUAACCAACCGGGACUAAAGGCCCCCAGCCCCCCAGCGUGGGCUCGUGCCACGUGGUGGGCCUUUGGUCCUGGGUCAUGACGAACCGGCACUAAAGGGGGGGGGGCUUUAGUCCUCACCCUUUAGUGCCGGUUGCUGAACCGGGACUAAAGGUCCUUACGAUCCGGGACUAAAGCCCGAUUCUGCACUAGUGCAUGUCUACAUACAUUCGUAUCAAGACAAAAAUAAGAGCAUCUCUAGCAGACCCCGUAUAUCGCGACCCGCAAAGCUCGUUUACAGUUCUCAGAAAAGCGGUUUUGCGGGCCGGCGCCCGCGUCGGCCCGCAUAUCAUAUGCAGUUUUAUCUGAAUUUGACACAUAUGGCACAUAUUCAGAAUUACUAAUUUAAUAUAAGAAAAAAAUUCAAUAUUACAAUACAACAAUAAUCCAAAUUACAAUAAUUAUUCAAAUCACCGAAGCAAACUAAAUAAUUCAAUACAAAACUUGUCCCGAAUACAAAUCACACAUGAAUUAAAUGAAAAUGAAUAGAAAAAUGGAAUGUGUUACUGCCAAGUCCUUUGCCAGUGGUGCUCAAUGAGAUCCUCCUGAAGCUGAAAGUAGGUGUUUGCAUUUUCAAUUUCCCUGUAGGUCUGGAGAAAAUCUCUAAUGCGGUUCGGAUUUCUAGCUGGUUUGGCAUGGCUACCCACAUUGUCGUAGAAGAACUCCAAGUUCAUGCCUCUCUCAUCUCCUAGAAUCAUAUUGUGAAGAAUAACACAACAUGUCAUGAUGUUUUUCAAGGAUCGAUUGUCCCAAAAAUGAGCAGGACCACGAAGAAUGGCAGACCUAGAUUGCAAAACCCCGAAUGCUCUUUCAAUGUCUUUUCGGGCUGCCUCUUGUGCCCUUGCGAAUUCACAAUGUUUCCUAGUUUGGGGGUCAUUGAUGCUCUUGACAAAUGUGCACCAAGGAGGGUAUAUACCAUCUGCAAGAUAGUACCCCUUUGUGUAUUCAUGCCCAUUGAUAGUAUAGUUGCAAGCAGGAGCAUCACCACUAGCAAGCCUAGCAAACAAAUGAGACCGUUGCAACACAUUGAUAUCAUUGAGAGUACCCUGCAUACCAAAAAAGCAAUGCCAAAUCCAUAAAUCCUCGGAUGCUAUGACCUCUAACACAAUUGUUGGAUCACGAGACUUGCCACAAUACAUUCCCUGCCAUGCCUUCGGGCAAUUUUUCCAUGUCCAAUGCAUACAAUCAAUGCUUCCUAGCAUGCCAUGCCAACCUCUGCUCUCAUAGGUGCCAUCAAUUUUUGUUUGUCUUCCUCGUUGGGUGCCCGGAGAUAUUCAGGACAAAAGACACGGAUGAUCACUUUGGCAAACCUACGCACUGACUCAAUUGUAGUAUCUUCACCAAUGCGAAGGUACUCAUCGGCAUAGUCAGCCGGAAUGCCAUAUGCAAUUACUCGCAUAGCUGCCGAGAUUUUUUGAUAUGCACUAAAUCCCUUCAAGCCCGCGAGAUUUAUUCUUUGAGUAAAAUAACGACAAUUGGACUCACAAGUUUGAACUAUUUUUACAAAGAGGAACCGGCGCAUUCGGUACCUUCUCCAGAAGAGGUGUGGCAGAUAUGUUGGAUUGUCCACGAAGUAGUCUUGCAUCAACAUCUCGUUACUGAGAUGGCGAUUUCAAGGAAUGCAAAGACGGCCGACGGUCGAUCCUCGCCGUCUCUUUCGGUUCUCAUCUUCGUGCUCCUUCACGGCGAGGGCCAUCACCAACAUCUGCUUGCGAUAGUUGACAAGCUGCAUCUCAACAUCCGAGUCGUCCGAAUCGGAUGAAUCCUCGAUCAAAAACUUCUCGCAUGGACUCAAUUCCAUCUAAAUUCACAAAGACGCAAGCCGUGUUAACCAACUAUGCAUAAGCACAAGCACAAGUAAAAGUACUCAUCGACAGCUCGGGGCGGUGGCUCUGCGGCGGUGGAUCUCGGGGCGGUGACGGUGACUAGGGGAGGCUCGGGGCGGUGGAUCCUGGGGCGGCGACGGCGACUAGGGGCGGCUCGGAUUGGCGGAUCCGGGGAGCCGGUGAAGCGGCUAGGUGUAAGAGGGGAGGGGCGCCCCGCGGCGCGAUUCUGCCCGCCGAUUUGGCCGGAAUCGCCGGUGGCUGACGGGCGGCGGCGGAAGGGGGUGGGGAAAGGACGCGGGUUGAAAUGUGCCUCCCGCCAACCGCUUUCCUGGAAUACAGGGCACCGUCGGGGCGAGGGAGAAACCUGCGUUUUCGCGGGUUGGGGAUGAGAUUUUACGGCGCCCCUAAAAAUUUUUUACGGGUCGGACGCGUUUGCGGUGUCUGGUCGGGCAGCAUUUUACGCGCGGACCCGUAUUUUGGUGGUUAUUUUACGGGUCGGGGCAUUAUAUAGGGUCUACUAAAGAGCAUCUCUAGCAGACCCGACAUAACGCCCCGACCCGCAAAAUAACCCCCAAAAUGCGGGUCGGCGCGGAAAAUCCUGCCCGAACAGACCCCGCAAACGCGGCCGGCCCGUAAAUUUUUUUAGGGGUGUGGCAAAAUCUUGACCCCAACCCGCGAAUACGUGGGUCCUCCCCCCCGACCCGUCGGUGCCCUGCAUAUAGCGGGAGCGGUUGGUGGGGAGGACAUUUCAGCCUGCGCUUUUCCCCCACCUACCACCUCCCCGCUCCCCCUCACCCCGCCGCCCAUGAUUCCGGCGAAAGUAGCCGGCGAGAUCAUGCUGAAGGCCGCCACACGUACGAGGUUGCCCUCCGCCAACCCUUCCUGCGUCGGUGGGCCGGAAAGUUGCAUAUCUGCGCCCCAUCGUCGUGGGCGGCCCGGAUUUGGCUUUUCCUGCCGCCGGUGGCCACGCCAAGCGAUGGAAUGGUCGGGGAGCACCUCGCGCAGCCCCGGCAAAGUCCCAUCGCCACAUGCAGGUACGGGUUCGUCCUGUCGCCGCCGCCGACGGUUUGGCUGCAUGGAUUCAGCCGGCUGUCCGCCGAGCUCGGCGCUCGUGCAGCGGCUCUGCGGCUCGCCAAUGCCGCUCAUACAGUGCGACGACUGCACGCGGUGCACGCGGACAGUGCUGCGGCUAACUUUGGGCACGCCGAAGCACCUCGUAUGGGUGUUGUUCAAAUGCGAAAACAACGGGGUACGUGUUCUUUUCAUUCGGCUUUGGCACCGUAUUCUUUGCUUCAAUUGGAUAGCUCAUUUCGAACAUCAUCAUGUGUGUAGGAAGAUUGAUGCUCAUUUUGGUUUUGGGAAGGCGAAUAUAUUGACUUAUUGAUAGAAAGAAACUUAAUAGACGUUCGUGCAAUCCUUAGUACAGUCGAAGGUAAUGAAGCGGUUGCAUGUGCAACUAGAGGGGAAGCAACGUCUACUUCUUUAGAACCAAAGAAGAAGAAUGAAGAAUGCGAGAUCAAGAAUCUGCAAAUCAACAAUGAGUGCAUGGAGAAGAUAUUGCUUCAACUAGUGGGAGCAGUUAUGAAAGUUGGAAAUCUUCUAAAAUGCAUAAUUGUGGCUCUUGUUUUCUUUGGUCUUGCUAUUCUAGCAAAGAUUUGGAGAUAUCUAUGUAUCCAAUGUUGUUGAAAAAGCAAAAAAAAAA